CCUAGUAUUGGUCCGUGGAUGGAUAUAUGUAUGUGUGCAGCAAAUACUUUGGGUGCAGAAUCGCCGUAUCCAUGGAGAAGUCACGGGAGAAAGAAACUUAGGUUAAAACGAGGAAUGAAUUUUGCGUCCGGAGGGUCAGGAGUGUUUUCGGCUGAUCCACUGCCUAAUUUGACUGCUCAGGUCACUUUCAUGGCUGACCUUCUCCACGCCCGCCGUGUCUACGCUCCGGAAGAUAUUCAUCCCUCCGACGUCUCUUUCAUUAGCUACGCCGGAGGCGACUAUUUUGAUUUCAUCCUCCGAAACCGCCCUGCCGCUGUAAGAAACAUUCAUGCACUUCAUUGCAUCAUGUAUAUAUUCAUAACUUAUCUUCAUUGCAUCUUGCAUGCAGGAUUUGAAAGCAUUCAUAGAGAAAGUCAUGGAUAAUUUGUACGUUAGAAUGAAAUCAUUGGGAGAUCUGCUAUUUAAGAAGAUAGCAAUAUCAUCGCUGCAGCCGAUUGGAUGCAGCCCCUUUUUCUCCGCUGCAUCCUCAUACAAGAGUUGCAACGAGUCAUAUAGCGAAUUGGUGAAAGUCCACAACAAUUCGUUGAAAAAAGUCGUAGCCAAGCUUAACCAAGACUCGAGGCUUAGGAAGAAGGGGCAGCAUUACUUUAUCAUUGAUAUUCACAACGCUUUCAUGACCAUCUUGCACAACAAAGGUGAAAAUCCAUAGUAACGUAAGUUUUUUUUUAGUAACGUAAGUUUCACGUUUGACCUUUAAUAUUAAACCCUAGUUUUAUAGGAAAUGCAGGAAGCACAAGGUUUAGAAACCCAUUGGAGCCGUGCUGCCAAGGCGCUUGUGCGCGUGUGGAUCCUAAAGGUGCGAAGAUGUAUACCUUAUGUGAUGAUCCUAAGUCUUCUUUCUUUUGGGAUAUAGUUCACCCUACCCAAGAAGGAUGGAAAUUGGUUUACUCGGUAUUAGGAACCCUUUAACCGAGUCCUUAACCAAAGCAUAAAAACCACUUUUCGGUAUCUAAAAGCAUCAGCAACCGUGAUACUUAGCCCAUUUUGCAUCGAUACUUAGCCAAAAAGAAAAUGAAAAAAGUAAUUAAAAUGAAGAAGCGAUGCUUAUUUGAGACCCAUAAGCAUCGAUGCUUAUUGAAUUUAAUAAUAUUUAAUAGCUAACCAUCCCAAAAUCAGUUGCUCCAAUGUUCUAAAACGCCAAAAUGUAUUUGAGUUUUUCAAUAGAGUAAUUAGGUGAAAUCGCAAUACAAAUAAAAAUAAAAACUAAAUGGGACAUUUAUUUAAAAGAUAAUAAUAAAGCUAUUUCAUUGAUCAUGCUUACAAGAGCAAUUCGACCAAUUCAAAUCGUUUUAUCCAUUUCAUUUAACUAUUAUAUGACACAAAUCACCCGUAAUAAUUAUAUAAAAUAGCAUACUCCAUAACAAAAACACCAAUAAUUUUAAAAAUAUUAAUUUUAAAAGUCCAUUAAUUUUUGACAGGUUAAUUUCCUAAUAACGAUUUGUUAAUUUGUCGUUUUCUGAAAUAAAAAACUUUCAAACUCUUGGUAUCUAGCUAAUCAACUCUUUUGAUGCUUUUUUUUAUCACGUUCAGUAUGUUCUCUGCGUAGUUGUUGUUCUCUCUCUAUCGUUGGAUCUUUAUUUAUGUUUGUUGAUUAAUAUAUGUAAUGGUAUUUGGUAGAUAUUGAUUCGUUACUAUUCUUCCAAAACUAUACAACCUGAACAAAAUAUAUAGAAAUAAAACCUACUGGUAUUUUUUUUUUUUUGGGAUCAAAGAACCUAUAUAUUGGUAUAUAAGAAAAGGCAUACGAGGAUUUAAUAAACACGUUCGUUGGGACAAUAAAUUAAAGGGAAAAAGUAACUUGUCAAUAAUCAAGGGGGAUGUGCCAGUAUGCCAUUGACGUUAAUUAAAAAACUUAAAAUAAUAGAGUCUUUGUGUCAUUAGGCCGCCACGUUUUUUCCCCGUGUGAAUAUAAAAAUCACAAAGACAAAUAAUAAAUAAUUCUAAUAUCCGCACACCUACGAAUUCGAAGUGCACCGUGUGAUGAAGAAAAUCAAAUUAGGAGAAUCGAAAAAGCGAAGACCUAUAACCGUACCGUAGUAAUAAGACUUCAAAUAUGAACGUCAAAGACCAAGAAAUGGAAUAUCUUUUAACAACAUAAAAAAAACUAAGAAAUGGAAUGAAAAUGAAAUGAAAAAUGAAAAAUGAAAAUUCAAUUUCAACACUAAUAUCACUUUAAAUAUAACCCUAAGACGCUAAAUAACUAAACAACAUAAAUUAAUUACACCGCCCAAUUUUGACAGAAAAAGUCGUAUACAUAUAUACUAACCAAGACCAGGAAACAUGUAAAAAAUCCUCUAAAUAAGAAAAAAAUGCAAAAACUUUUUUGGAUCGAAGAAAUUUUUUAUUUAAGUAAGUAUAAUAAGAAAUCCAAAUGGUGAGAAACAGAAAAUGAAUAAAUACAAAGAAUAAAGAUACAAAAGUUGACCAGAUUUUUAUCGAAAUAAAAAAAUGACCAGAUCGUAGUCGUUUUAUAUCAAUUCUAAGGCGUAGUGGCUUACUAUAUAUAAAUAAAGCCAUUAUAAAGACAUUAGUGAGAAUACAAUCCAAUUUCAAUUCUCAAAGAGCUCUCCUAUAAACCCAUCUUCUCUCUUCCACUCACUGUCUCUACCUCUCUCUCUCUCUCCCUCCCUCCUAUCCUUUCUAUUUGUCACUAAAAGUGAAGUCUUUGCUCUGAAUCUUGAAAAUGGAUUCUUUGAUCAAAUUCUUCUUCUGCCUCUCUCUUUUCCUAUUCAUUUCUCUCAUUUUUGGUAAUUUAAUUUAAACUCAUCUUAUAGUUAUCAUCACAACGGAUUCUUUGAAACCCAUAUGUCCCCAGUUUUUUUAUUUUAUUUUUAUUUUUUGUGCAGGGGAAAUCAAUGGAGUCGAGGGCUCAAAUCAAAACCAUCACUUGUACGGAUUUAGACCAACGAAGCUGUUUGUGUUCGGAGAUUCUUACGCCGAUACCGGAAACAUUAGGAAGUCUCUCUCUAAUUCUUGGAAAUUUCCUUACGGUAUCACUUUCCCCGGUAAACCCGCCGGACGUUUCUCCGACGGCCGCGUCGCCACCGAUUUUCUAGGUACGUCUCUUCCUCUUCACAAUCAUAAAGUAGCAAUAUUAUCUCAAUAUUUCUAACUUAAAUUCUUAAUCAACUUUAUAGACCAACCAAAUAAAGUCUCAUGCUCUACUUACCUUACUGACUUUAGUUUUAGAAAUUAGUAUGCUGUAUUGCAACAAUAUACCCGAUUAGCAUUAGACUAUGUGGAAAUGGUUAUCUGAUUGAUUAGUGUUGAGUACCUAACUAAUUGAUGUUUAAGCCCCAUUUUUAAAUUAAUAACAGCAUGUGUUAAACUGUUAAUAAUAGGGUACAUAAUUUAUAUAUAUAUAUAUGUAAAUGAUGACGCGUAUUAAAUAAGGUACAAAAAACAAUGAUGGAAGAGUGGUCUAGUGUCAAUCCAGUGCGCGACUCGCUUUUGCUUUCUUUCUUCUCGCCAUCUUCUUGUUCCACUUUGCUUUUUUCUGAAGUGAUUUUUCACUUUCGGUUUAUUGAUCUUAAAAAUAUAUUUCUUUCACCCGAAAAUAAAAAUUAAUUUCCUUGCUAUGUAGAGGUCGGACAUAGCAUAUAUGAAUAACAGAUAAUCAGUUUGUUCCUUUUAGAUUCAUAGUAUUCGGUGCUGAUUAUUUUUUCCUUCUUUGUCCUUUAUAUAUAUAUAUAUUUUUUUUUUCCCAAAGGUUAGCUUUUCCAAAUUUUUUAUCAUAGCCACUACCACUUAGCAUCAAUAAAGCAAGACAGUUCAUGCUUCUUUUCUUUUAUAUCCAUUUUAUUCUUAUAAAUAAAAAAGAGUACUAUAAAGAUGUUAAAAACAGAAAAGAAAAAAAAGCAGCUAAACCACGAGCUUAUGCGCUGUCAGAGUCCAUACAAUUAGUUAACAUAAAACUAAAAAGUUAUAUCAAUAGUCUUUCUAUAUAAGUUACUUAGGAUUGAUGAAAAUGUAUUAAUUUUUAUUUUUGUCAACGAUUCUUGGAACAAUAAUACUGACCAAAUCUUACUAUACUACUGGUUUUAAAGUUGUACUAAUUAAUGAGUCUGACAACUGCAUAUGUUAGAAAGUUAACUCAUUUGAAGCAUAAUGUUGCAGUCUCCAGCAUGAAAGUUAACUGCAUGCAUUUUCAAUCUAUACUCGAAUUAUGGUAAAUGCUCUUUCUCGAAUCAUGCAAAUAUCUCAGAUUUUUUCCUUUUCUACAGCAAAAUUCGUGGGGAUAAAAUCACCAAUCCCAUAUUUCUGGAAAGAUUACGCGGGAAAGAAACGGUUACUACACGGUAUGAAUUUUGCGUACGGAGGAACAGGAGUGUUCAACACUCAAGUUCCAUUACCCAACAUGACCACUCAGAUCGAUUUCUUCCAGAAGAUUCUCACCGCCGGCGACAUCUACUCUACCUCCGACCUUAUUUCCUCCGUCGCUCUCGUCAGCGUCGCCGGCAACGACUAUUCCACUUUCAUCGCCCAAAACCGCCCUGCCUCUGUAAGAAAAAAAAAAGAUACAUUUCAUAUUUAUAGUGUUAAUCUCUAUUAAUCUUUGGUCCGACUUAGCUAAUGUUUUUAUUAGUGAUGCUAGUAAAGAGUUUAUACUGUUUAAGGGGUCUACAACUAAAGACUAUUUUACCCUUUCUAAUUUUAAGUUUAAAGCCCGGUUCAAGUUAUUUGUUUCCCUUUGUAACCCGGUUUACGUUUUAAGCCCGGUUCAACAGAGUCAAAUGUGCAAAUUCAACAGAGUCCAAUGUACAACUAGUCUGUUUCAGUUUAUUCAUGUUACUCAUUGCACAUUUCACAGGAAUUUCCGGGAUUCAUAAAGCAAGUGGUGGAUCAAACAGAGGUGAAUUUGAGGAGGCUCCACGCCUUGGGAGUGAAGAAAAUAGCAGUACCGUCGCUGCAGCCGCUCGGUUGCCUCCCAGGGAUCACCGUUGCCUCCUCGUUUCAGCGUUGCAACGAGUCACAAAACGCGUUAGUGAAACUUCACAACAGCUUAUUGCAACAAGCCGUAGCAAAGCUCAACAACGAGACCAAGCAGUCGACUUUCAUCAUCCUUGAUCUCUACAACGCUUUCUUAACCGUCUUCAAGAACAAAGGAGCCAAUCCAGGUUAAAAAAAAAACUGUCUUUUUUUGUUUAUCUACAAGAAACAACCGUGUCUUUUAUUCCUUGAGCUGAUUUGGUUCGUUUUGCGGAAAUGGCAGGGAGUACAACGUUUCAGAAUCCGUUGAAGCCGUGUUGCGUAGGCGUGAGCAGCGAGUAUCGCUGUGGAAGUGUGGAUGAAAAGGGAGUGAAGAAGUAUGUGAUAUGUGAUGAUCCUAAAUCUGCUUUCUUUUGGGAUAGAAGUCACCCUACAGAAGCAGGAUGGAGAUCUGUUUACUCUGUUUUACGCGAAACUCUUACCUCUUCUUUGAUUAAAGCGUGAGAAACACACACAAUAAGAACACUACUUUUUUUUUUAGGUUAUUUCUUCUGAAACCGCAGUGUUUGUUCUUUCUCUGUUUUUUUUUUCCCGGCAUCUCUUUAUUCAUAUGUGUUUUCUAUGUUGUGUGUUAACGGUUGUGUGACUAAUAAAAUCUCUAAACUUGUUCAUGUCUAUGAUUAAUUAGCAUCCUAUUUUAGCUUCACUAAGAGGGGGAAAAACAAAAACUAAUAAACUAAUAAAAACUGGGAAAUCAGGGUGGAACAUGAUCCUAAUAACACGCCAAAGAACUCUCAGUCUUAUUCUAAGACUUAGCCCAAAAAGACAGUUUCCAAAAGAUACGUGGCCAUUAAGUAUUGUCCUCUGUGUUUAUUAACAUUAGAGUGUAAAUUUACUUCUCAAACAAAAACAAAUCUCCCCAAUUUUACAAAUCUCAGAUAUCAAAGGGAUGGUUCAGAAUCUGCGUUUACGGUUGUUUAUACUCUGUUUUUACCUUGUUAACACCGCGUCUAAAGCAGUCACGGAAGAUGACGAGAGAAAGGUAAAAUAAUGUUAAGAGUGAAGAGAGUGAAUUAUGUGUUUGGUGUAUGAUGAGACAAUCAAUGGUUUUAAAUGACUGAAUCUACUCUCAUCCUUCUUGGUCUGUUUUUCUCUUUUCUUUCUAGCCUUACAUUGUGUACAUGGGAGAUGCAGCUGAGAAGUCUCAUGUUGAAGCUGCAGAAAAUCAUCAUAAUCUUCUAGUGACAGUGAUCGGAGAGUGAGAAUCAGUUCUUGCUCAUAGAUUAGCAAUCAGUUUAUCAGAACUUUUAUAUUUUUUUGUUGGGGUUGUUGCAGUGAGAGCAAAGCAAGAGAAGUUAAAAUGUAUAGUUACGGGAAGAACAUUGAUGGAUUUGUGGCAAGACUUUGUCCUCAUGAAGUAGAGAAGCUAUCACGUACGUAACAAAAACGUUUAGAAAAUUUUCGAGUUUAUCUCGAUGUGGUUUGUUGAUUUUUUUUCCCCUGACUGUUUCGUCGUAUGCAGGCGAAGAAGGAGUUGUAUCGGUGUUUAAGAACACUCAAAGGCAGCUUCACACGACAAGAUCAUGGGAUUUUCUAGGAUUUGUUGAGUCUAAAUACAAAAGAAGUCUAGCGGUAGAAAGUAAUAUCAUUGUGGGAGUUCUUGACACAGGUUAUUAAACUUCAAAUUUGGAUCUAAAGAUAUCGAUAAAACCAGAUUUAUAACACUUUUUUUUAUUCUUCAAAAAGGAAUCUAUAUCGACACACCGAGCUUCGAUGACAAAGGCUAUGGACCUCCUCCAGCUAAAUGGAAAGGAAAAUGUGUAACUGGAAACAACUUGACUCAUUGCAAUAAGUACAAAAAUGCUCUGUUUCCAUCUUCUUCUUAUUCCUCUGUUUCUGCAAUUCUCUUUUGUUUUCUUUUUACUUAACUCGUUUUUUUUGGAUUAAAUGUAAAACACAGCAAAGUGAUAGGCGCAAAGUACUUCCACCUCAAAGAAGAGAGUCAUUUCGAUAGCAAGGGACAAACCGCUGCGGAUUACGACGGUCACGGGACUCACAUAUCUUCCACAAUCGCCGGUGUUUCCGUCUCCGAUGCUAGCCUCUUCGGAAUCGCAAAUGGCACGGCUCGAGGCGGUGUUCCUUCUGCUCGUAUAGCCACUUAUAAGGUUUUUGUUCUCGCUUUCAAUUAGUAUUACUCUGUGUUGCCUUGGAGCAUUAAGAAUCUCUGACACAGUUAAAGCUCUGUUUUCAAAUUUUAGGUGUGUUGGGAAGAAGGAUGCUCGGACAUGGACAUAAUGGCGGCAUUCGACGAGGCGAUUUCUGAUGGUGUUGAUGUGAUAUCGAUUUCGAUCGGAGGAGCCUCGCUUCCGUUUUUCGAAGAUCCGAUUGCGAUCGGAGCGUUUCACGCGACCAAAAGAGGGAUCGUGACAACGUGUUCCGCAGGCAAUAACGGUCCUGCUCUCUUUACGGUUUCUAACCUCGCGCCAUGGGUAUUGACAGUCGCAGCUAACUCAAUCGACCGCAAGUUUGAAACUCUUGUCAAACUAGGAAAUGGACUCACCGCAUCUGUACGUACAGUUGUCUUUCAAGAAUCCAAGUAUCACCUACCUUGCUUGUAUGGCAAGCAAGUAAAUUAACAGUUGAAGGAUCUCAAUGCAGGGGAUUUCUUUAAACGGGUUCUCUCCAAGGAAGAAAAUGUUCCCUCUCACGAGCGGUUUGCUUGCGUCUAACGUAUCUGAAGGAGGCUAUGGAGAGCCAAGGUAAUUUUCAAAAACAGAGAGAAGACCUUUUUUCUUUUUCAGUUUUUUUUUUUCGAAACGGUUGUGAAUUGUUGCAGAACUUGUGAAUCCGAGACAAUGGCGGAAGAGAAAGUGAUGGGGAAGGUAGUUUACUGUGAAGCAGGACGUGAAGAAGGAGGAGCUCGUGGAGGUCCAGAUCAUGUUGUGAGAUCCUUAAAAGGAGCUGGCGUGAUCGUUCAACUUCUAGAACCGACUGAUAUGGCCACUUCAACUCUCAUUUCUGGCUCCUAUGUCUUCUUCGAAGACGGUACAAAGAUCUCUGAUUACAUCAACUCCACCAAGUAAAUCAAUCUCAUCUCUUUUUUUUCUACCUGCUUACUUCUACUGUUCUUGUUCCUCACACAACGAACUUAACAGAAAUCCUCAAGCCGUUAUCUUCAAGACGCAAACAACAAAAAUGUUAGCUCCUUCGAUUGCUUCCUUCUCAGCAAGAGGUCCUCAAAGAAUCAGCCCCAAUAUUCUCAAGGUUUCUCUUCUUCUUCUCUCUAUCUGUCUCUCUCUCUCUCUUUGUUCAUCCGCAAAUGAUUCAUUUUGAGCUCUGUUUUUUUUUUCUACAGCCUGAUAUUUCAGCGCCGGGACUAAACAUUCUGGCGGCAUACUCGAAGUUAACAACGAUAACGGGUUAUCCAGACGACAAAAGACAAACACUUUACUCCAUAAUGUCAGGAACAUCAAUGGCUUGUCCUCACGCAGCAGCUGCAGCAGCUUAUGUCAAAUCAUUCCAUCCUGAUUGGUCUCCAGCCGCAAUCAAAUCCGCCCUAAUGACCACAGGUAACUUAAUUCAGCUUAAACCAUCAAGUAAAAACUUUCAAAACGUUCUUAUAUAAAAGCAUUGAAAUUUCCAAUCUUUACAUUGAUCCUUUACAGCUACUCCAAUGAGAAUCAAAGGCAGUGAAGCGGAAUUAAGUUACGGGUCGGGUCAAAUAAACCCGAGAAGAGCGAUUCACCCGGGUCUAGUCUACGACAUCACCGAAAGCUCUUACCUAAAUUUCCUCUGCAAAGAAGGAUACAAUAGCACAACCAUCGGACUUUUACUCGGCGGUAACAACAAGACGGUUAAGGAAUACACGGUUAAGGAAUACAGAUGCGUGGAUAACAAGCGAGGGCUAGGAUCCGACGGGUUAAAUUACCCGUCGAUGCAUAAGCAAGUGAGUUCUACGGAGACUAAAGUUUCGGAGGUUUUUUACAGGACGGUGAGGAAUGUCGGGUACGGACCGUCGACCUACGUGGCUAGGGUUUGGGCACCAAAGGGCUUGAGAGUAAGGGUUGUGCCUAGGGUUAUGAGUUUUGUUAAGCCUGGAGAGCAGAGGAAUUUUAAGGUUGUGAUUGAUGGAGCUUGGGAAGAGACGAUGAGAGGGAUUUUGUCGGCUUCUGUGGAAUGGGAUGAUUCGAGAGGGCAUCUUGUGAGAAGUCCUAUUCUCUUGUUUCAGUCGGAUAUCGAUUACCCUUAAAACAUACAUUUGCUUUUAAUUUUUUAGUGUCUUGUCUUUUUUUUUUUUUUAAUAUUAGUGUUGUUGAAACAAUGAAACUCGACCUAGCUUUGCUCUAAUGUUUCUGAAAACAUAUAACAUUAUGAACAUUCCAAUACGUUGAGUAAAAAAAGAGUUGAAUACAUUAUACAAAAUAAAUAACAAAAAUCAUGCGAUGGAGGAGAAGAAAUUGAAAAAAGCAUAUGAACCCGAUAACAAAUGUCCAAAACAAAAAUAAAAAAAAUUCAAAUCAAUAACACAACUUUCUCAUACAACCGAAUAUAUUUAAGUUUAUUGGGGUUUAUUUCUAAACCAAACAAUCCAAGCAACCAAAACAACCAAAACUUAAAUGUGGAUUUUUUUAAGUUGCAAAAUGACAUAAAAGCCACUCAAUCUCAAGACAGCUCACACUAACACAUAACAGAAGUCAGAAUCUAGAAGCAAUUUGGUCUUUUUAAAUUUUGGUGGCGAAGGAAAGUCCUUCCUUCGACAACACGUUAAGGCUCUCAACUGAAGGCUGUGUUCGCGCGACCUUAGCAAUUGCCUUGUUCUCUUCAGGAGUUCCACCUUCCAAAAACGCUCCAAUCAAUUUUCCUUCUUUAAUCCAGUAGCUUCCGAAUUUCGGCUUAGGCGAUUUCGGGUCAUUAUCUCCAAACAUUACGGUUUCUCCAACGUUGUCACCAUAGAAUUGCCAUGAGAGAUCAAAGGCUCGAGAGUAGAAGUAUGGAAGAUAGUCAUAUUCAGGAAUCGAUUUCCCUUCUUCUGCGGCCUUGAUUGCCUACAAAAACCAUACAAUUUGAUUCAGUUUGGAUUCUAUAACUCUCAUUUCGUGUUAUCGUUUUGUUACCUUAACGGCCUGUUCAGCGGACUUGCGAGCAUGGUCAACAUGUUCAACACGUCUCAUUUCAUUGUAGAGUUUCAUUGGGAAUGUGGCUAUAUCACCAAUGGCGUAUACAUCCGGAACGCUUGUUUUGAAGAAUGCAUCAGUCUGCAUUCGAAGAAAUAUCUCAUGAGUUUAAGAUAAAAAAAACUUCACAAACUAUCUCAGAUACUGCAACAAAUGAAGUAUUUUUAAAUCGCAAACCUUCAAACCGCCUUUUUCCUCUUCAACUUGCCCUUUGAAGAGUGAUAUAAUAGGUCUAGCACCAACACCUACGAUCACUAUAUCAGCUUUUAGCGUUCUUCCGUCCUUCAAUUUCACCUCAGCGACCUGCAUCAUAAAGCAAAACAGCAAUUAUUAUUGUUUGAAUCAGCAGAGAGAGAGAGAGAGAAAACUGUUCUUGUGAAGCUUGAAUGGGGAUGCUAGCUGCUAACCUCCCCAUUUGAGUUUGUGCUGAAACCAGCCGCAACGGUGCCUUUCACAAUGUUGAUUCCCUUGUUGGCGUAGUAACCCUCGUAGAACGAAGCAAUGCCGGCAGUGAAAAGCCGAGGCACUUUUCAAAGACACAACAAAACAAGGAAAGUUGUUCAGUGAUUGGAGAGCAUAGGAAUGAGAUUUAUCUGUUAUUGGAUUGGGAUUAAAGUAUCCACUUACUGCACCAAGGUUCUGGAUAAACCAUGGUAACUUCGAGGUUGUUAACCUUCAGAGCAGAACUGAGCUCAAGACCAAUGUAACCGCCACCAACAACCACAGCUUUUCCGUUUUUCUUUACGUCCAUUGCAGUCACGAGUUCAUCAGCAUCAUCAAGUUCCCUUAGGUAGAAUAUAUUCUUAGCAUCUGCACCUUGGACGCCAAAAUCUGACAACCUUGUCACCUGCACAAUUUAAACGGCUUCCCAAUGACGAAAUGCAAAAAAAAAAAAAACACAUGGACGGAAACUUCCAAAUCAAGAGGAGAGAAGAGAGAAAGAGAGGGAGAGAUUGUGCUCACAGAAGAACCAGUUGCAGCUAGCAAAGUUUGGUACUUGAAGACUUGUCCGGUGCCACUAACAAGAGUUUUUGCAGCAAGAUCUGCUUUGACAAUCUCUGUGUCCAGAAUCAGCUCAAUCCCUGCAAACAAAAACAGAAGCAAUAGACAUUAUGAGUAGAGAGAAAUUGUGUUAUCAAGCGCUUAAAAGCACACACAAAAGAGAACCCACCGUUCUCUUUGUACCAUUGAGGGAACUGUUUCUCUCCCCCACUUCCAGCACAGACAUAGAAACCGGGAAGUGUAGCUUUAUCUGUGUACCAUGAGAAAAACAAUAUAGUUAAGAACCGAGCAAGGACAAAACUAAAACCAAUCGAUCUUUUAUUAUUACUCUCGAGGUUGAUAUAUCCCUUGCUAAGUGCAGGACGCUCAUAUGGAGGAACCUGCACAGAAUUACCAAAAUCAUUAAUCACAUAGAAGCAAAACAAGAAUACAGAAUAUGAAUCGCCAGAGCUAGCCUAAACAAACUUUCAAGGCCGAAUAGUCCUAGAAUUCAUCGAGGAAACUUACUUGUUCCCUGGAAAUGAUAGCAAGUUCACCAGGUUUCAGACCUUGCUUAGAGAACUCUCUCGCCGCAUAUCCCUGUGAUUCCAGAACAUCCAAACAAACAAAAUGAAAACUGAAUUUAAAACUUUGAAAUGUCUGAUUCGUCUGCUUAAAUUGGAAAGUUCUCGAAUAGUAGUAGCACAAUAUUCAUCUACUUCCUAAUUCUUCUGAAUCAGAAGAAAAAAAAUCAAUAGAUCUAGAGAUACUAUCAUCCCCAGAAACUACUUCGUAAGACAUGAAAACACAUCAAUGAUUCAACAACAAGGAAUAAUCGUGCGGAAUCCAAAGCGAAACAGUGAGUAGUACAUAGUGACGAUUCGUAAGCGAAGAGAGAGAGAGAGAACACAAAUCCAAUCAAAAGCGAACGAGAAGAACAGCGACUUACGGCGGCGACACCACCUCCGACGAUCACAUACUUGAAGCUCUUCUCUUCCGCCAUUGAUUCGAUGGAAUCGUCUUCUAAUUUCUUUCGAUUUAUGUCUCGCUUUUUUGUCUUUUUCCUUUGGAUCCGAAAAAUGUGAUUGGGUCAGGGGUUUAUAUAGGGUACCUGUCCAGUCUAGAAGGAAUCUUCUCACGUGGCUAAAUUUAAGCCGUUAGAUGUCCCGCUUUACGGAGAAAUCAAAAUCAAGUCAGGCGUCUAACAUUCUUGACCCGGUCUAACUUAACUUACACGUGACAGAUCAGGCUGGUGUGAAACGGACAAUCAUUUUUACAUUCCGGUACGACCCGGUUUAUUGAUUGAUACCUUUCAUAUUUGAAGGUCUUUUUUACUUUAUUAACUUAUUUAGAAAUAUAUUAAAAAAGGAAUCAUCAGUCUGCUUUGUCAGCAACCAUCACGCAAAUUGGCCAAUAAAGUAAUAACGCAAAUUGGCCAAUAAAGUAAUAGGUAUUUAAGAAGUCGAUGGGGAACAUCGGGAUUUGUGUAUUCUAGCAAUUAGUAAUUAUCUAUGCGAAACAAGGUUUAAUUCGAUUAUCAAUCUAUCAGUCUCAGUGAACCAGUAUUAUAAAAUAACCCAAAGGGUAACUGGACCAAUAGUAAAACUGCAGCAAAUCGAUAAAAAUGUAGGAACUGGUGAUCCACAGAACUGAUUAUUCUAGAUUUAAUGUUAAAUAUAGCAUCUUCUAUUUUUAAUUAAAAGUUCAUUUACUUCUUAUUCCAGUAAUUUUAUUCUUCCUACCGUUUGUAAAUAUUUUAAAUUUUACCGCUUUUAGUAUAUCAUUAUUUUUUUGGUUUGUUUGAGUAUUUGCAUCUCAAUGCCGCAAAUUAGAUUCAAAACCAAGGUAUUGGUUUCUAGUUCUUUUUUCCAGUUUAUUUUGUAUUUCGGUUUUAUGGUGACGGAUUUUUUUUCAUGCAUGCAUUAUUGAUGAUUAAGAAGAUGAAUACAGUAUGUGAGAACAAUAUACUGUAAGAUCUUAAUCAAUGGUUGUAUAAAUGAUGGGCUUAUGCUAAUGGGCCGGGCUGAUUUUCAGAUUUCGAGGAACAUUUUGUAAAUUUGCAGUAUGUUAGGAUUUGAUUACCAUGUGCAUUUUUUCCCUUUUUUCUAGACCGCGGGAGCUUUAGUUUUUUCAUAAGACUUGAUAGUGCUUUUACGUAUUGCAUAUUGUUGAACGAAUAUAGAAAAGAUAAAUGAUCUAAGAAGUUCGCACUUUGUGGGAUCCGUAUACAAAUUAUACCAAAACUUUAACAACCUAGGUCAACUAAAUUAUUAUUAUUUUAAAAAAAUUCAUACAUAACUUUCAUUUGCAUCUAUUAUAUAUACCAAUAAGUUUCAGGCUUAGUGCUAUGCACAAUGGCCAGGCAAUCUAGAAUGUCUACUUAGAAUGUCUUCAUUUCUUGACCAUAUACAGAGGAAAAUGACAUCUGCUAUGUAUUCAUGGUUAUAUGUGUCACCACAAAAACAACACUAAAAUUGGUGAGCGAUAGUAUGGUGGUUAUUAUUGAUAACGUUGGUUACUUUUAAACCAACAUUUGGUGAUAGAUCUUCCAUUUUUUUUUCUUGAGAAAAACAUUUGUAAUAGAUCUUUAGCAAAAAAAAAAAAAAACACUGACCUAAAAAUGAUGAUGACCACCCUAAUUAAUAUAAAAAGUAUGGUAAAUUAUUCAUUGUGGCCCCUUCCCUUUUUAUUGAUCUUCCUGGAUUUCCGAACAUUUUAAGCUUUAAGAAAACUAUAAUAGUGUAUGCUUAGAAAACCAGCUAAGCCUUAAGAAAACUAAAAAACUUUUGAAUAAUGUCUUUUUUUGUAGCUUAUGAAUAUUCUAUACUACUUAUAUUGCUUAAAAACAGCACAGUUCCCUCGAGCAAAGUGAUUUGUAUAUAUUUAUCUUUCUAGACUUAUAGUGAUGAAAGACCAGCAUUAUUGUCAAAUGGACAUUAGGUCCAUCAUUAUGGCCUUUUCUAAAAAGAGAUUAACUAAUUCUUAAAAAAAAAAGUAAUCAUACCAGGUAAAAAAAUCUUCAAUCUUCAUUCUUCAAUUAAAUUCGUUAAUGACAAAAUAUAUAUAUAAAUAAUGAGCCCGGAAGACACAUGUCAACGAAUUGGACGCGCCAAAAAACAGUAGUGAUCAACAUGUCAAUACACCCCAUCGAAUUAAUCAAAAUAUUUAUUAAUUUCGUUGUUACAUGAGACCCACAAACAUAUGAUAUGGGUCCCAUCUUUUGUUCUUCAAACUGCUCAGAAAAAUGCAGAAUCCUUGUGAAUCCUCUUCAGAAAAAAUACCGACAAAAAACCCAACAAAGGAAAAGAGAGAAGAGACAGAAGACGAAACUACAGCGUUUCCUGUCUCCCUGUUUCGUCAAUUAUCUUCAUAGAUUUCUUCAAUAAUCUAUCCAGGUACUCUUUGUUCAUUGAUAAAUCAAGAUAGUGAUGACAUUAGAGAGAGUAUCAUCUUCAUCUAACUUUUGUUUCUUUUUUUCCGCAUGAGUUUUCUUUUUUUUCCUGUUCUGGGGUGUUAUGCAAUAAUACAUGUUUGUUUUAUCCUCAUUAAAUAAGAAUAAAAGUAAAAAUCAUAUGAACACGACACGAGUAUGCCUAUCUUAUACAUGAACGUAGAGAUUCAACAUCUAUUAGAAUUGUUGAGAGAUUGUGGAACCAGAUUCUCGAGAUAUGUGACUGUUUCAUAGGUUAAGCUGGUCUGUAAUGUUCCUCAGUCAUUGAUCCAAAUCUAUUUUUAAGUUAAACUGCUGAUUUUAUUUUUUCAAACUGUUCUGUUCUGUUCUGUUAUGAUUUUGUGUUCUCUGUAGAUUUGGAACUUCAUCAUACAGAGUUUUGAUCUAUUCUUUAAUAACAAAAAAUGGAGAAUCUUUUUUCAAGUAGUGUUUUUCUAAACCUUUUUUAUCUGAUCUGUGAAGAUAAAUUUCAGGUGUGUUUUGGAUCAAAAAAAGAUGUAUAUACCGGAUUAGAUUACUCGCAUUUUCGCGGUUACUAAGAUGCUGUGUGACUGAGCUUUAUAAGGUUAUGGGUUCAUUUGCUGGAAAGUGUGAAAUCGUUGAAGAGAAAGAAGACCGCCAAAACUCGAUUGUUUACUCCACGAGAUCAACAACAAAUAUUCCACAUUCUGGAUCAAGCAUUGUUGACGACAAGGACCUGGAGCGACCGGUACUAAAAUUAGGUUACAGAGGUUCACUAGAAGAUGAUAUCAACCAACUUUUCGAGUCUAUAAGUAUUCGAACAUCCGGAAUGAUUCCUUCUUACCAAGUUGGUGCAAGCAGUAGCAGUAGAAACAACAGUUCUUUACCAAGGAACGCUCUGAAAAGUCCCGCGAAUCUCGGUGGACCACGAUCGCCUAGCAAGAGAAAUGCGGAACCAGCAACGUUAAAACAGGCUCUGAGAGAUUUAUGCGUCACUAAGGCAUCUGAAACGGCAGCUAGCAAACGGACUCCUAAGACUAGUACCGGAGGCUCGGUUUAUGGUUCGGUUUUGGUUGAACCAGGAAGUGGAGCUGGUGAAGAAGGAAAAGCGGUUCUUGUCGAGUUACUCGACGAAGCUCAAAGCAGUUCAACAGAGAGUAUAUCGCAGCAGCUUCGUCUUCUUAAGAUACAUUCUGCGAGCCAAAACUCUAAGCGGUAUUGUGAUGAGAUGACGAUGCUAAAGAAAGACAAGAACUUGUCUCUUGACGACCAAGAAUUGGGUAGGAGGAGCUUUGGUUCAUCAUCGCCAGGAUCAGGGAACAGUAAGACAGUGGUUGGACUGAAAUCUGUUAGAAAAGUGAGGUUGUUGUAUGCUAAUACACCCAACUCCACCAUUGUUAACGGCAAGAGAGUGGCUAAGUUGACCAGAACCAUUCCACGUGGUGGUGGGGGAGCUAAACCGGCGCUAAGGAGCAAAGGUUCCGUAAAGAAGAAGGCUGCAAAUGUGUAUGAUGAAGUAGAUGGCUUCUAUGACCCCAUUGCAAAGGAACUUCUUUGCCAUAGAUGCCAUUUCGCUUUGAAGAACGCUCCAGCUAAAGAAGAGACCACUAAAGAUACACCGGUGGCAGCAGAUGUUGAGCCAAAUCAGAGUGUUAAAGAAGGUUUUUUAGAUGAAUUGGCUUCUGAUUUCUCCAGCUCAAGCUAUGAGAGCUCUCAUGAGAUAAGUGCCAGUGCAGAGACUAAACUUGAUAAGAUAAGAAGCUCUGUGGAUUUGAUGAAUCCAGAGACCUCCACGGUUUCUCCAAGAGAUCCAUUCUGUAAUAAGAACAUGGAAGGUGUUCAUGAGUACAGAAACAAUGAGAUCACUGAGGAAGAUACUCUAUCCGGCAAAGAAGUUGAUCAGAAAGAUUCUGUCUUUAUGUCAGAACAGAGUAUGGAGAUUGGUUCUUUCAGUGAGAAAUCGGUUGUAAUGAAUCCAGAUAGUCCUCCAAAGAAACUCAGCUUAGACAGAGCAGCUGUUGAAGAUGUCAACGAGAACUCGGAAAUCGAAAACAAAGGUGAGGAAGGUAUAGGAUACAACAGCUCAAGCACGAGUAUCAGUGAGGAAGAACAAGAACAGAGCAAUAACAUCAUGACAAGGUCUAGCUUUGGAAACAGACCUCAUAUGUCUAAAGAUGUGAGAUGGGAAGCUAUUCAGCAUAUAAGGGCACAGCACGGGCUCGGUUCAUUGGGUCUUAGGCAUUUCAAUCUUCUGAAGAAGCUCGGUUGCGGAGAUAUAGGAACGGUUUAUCUCGCUGAGCUCACAGGAACAAAUUGCUUGUUCGCUAUAAAAGUGAUGGAUAAUGAGUUUUUGGAGAGAAGGAACAAAAUGUCGAGGGCUCAAACCGAGAAAGACAUUCUCAAAAUGCUUGAUCACCCGUUUCUUCCAACGUUAUACGCUCACUUCACUUCGGAUAACUUAUCGUGUUUGGUAAUGGAAUGUUGUCCAGGAGGCGAUUUACAUGUCUUAAGGCAGAAGCAGCCCGGGAGGUGGUUUCCCGAGCCAGCAGCUAGGUAUACUCUGUUUCUUACGAUUAACUUUUACGUGAUAUUAUGAUUUUGUGAUUUGAAUCCUAAUCCUUUCUUUUAACAGGUUCUAUGUAGCGGAGGUGCUUCUCGCAUUGGAGUAUCUGCAUAUGCUGGGGGUUAUAUACCGUGAUUUGAAGCCUGAGAACAUUUUGGUACGUGAUGAUGGACACAUUAUGGUGACAGAUUUCGAUCUCUCCUUAAGGUGUACCGUGAGUCCAACGCUUCUAAACUCGUCCUCUCCGCUUCACGGGGAUGCGAUGAGACUCUCUUCUGGUAGCCGCACUGGAUCUAACUGCAUCGAGCCAUCGUGUUUCCGCCCUAAACUCUCUCGUGGAUCGGGAAACAAGAAAAAAGCCAAACAACACCGCGUAAUGAUGAAGAAACUCAAGAAAUCCGACCUAAUCGCUCGGUUCAAAUCAUUGCCUCAGCUAGUGGCGGAACCAACGGAUGCGAGAUCAAACUCUUUUGUCGGGACACACGAGUAUCUCGCUCCCGAGAUCAUCAAAGGCGAAGGCCACGGUGCAGCCGUUGACUGGUGGACGUUUGGGAUCUUUCUAUAUGAGUUACUCUACGGGAAAACUCCUUUCAAAGGAGCUACUAAUGAAGAGACUAUAGCUAAUGUGGUGCUUCAGAGCUUGAAGUUUCCUGAUAACCCUAAUGUGAGUUUUCAAGCUAAGGAUCUAAUAAGAGGCUUGUUGGUCAAGGAACCUGAGAACCGGUUAGGGACAGAGAAAGGAGCGGCGGAGAUAAAACGGCACGCGUUCUUUGAAGGCUUGAACUGGGCUUUGAUCCGGUGUGCGAUCCCGCCUGAGCUUCCGGAUUUUUAUGACUAUGGAGUUCCGAAUCAUGAAGGGAAAAGCAAUUACUUGGAUUGCAAGGCAGUUGGGGAACACCUUGAGUUUGAGUUAUUCUAGAGGACAAGAUAAAGACAGAGUUGAAGGAGCUUACGUAAUAUUUAAACUUUUCAUAGAACUUUUCCUUGAUUGAAUUUUGUUUCUUAUAUGUUAAAACGAAAUUUUAUUUUUUGGUUUUAAAUAUUUUUUUUCAGUAGAAAUUUUUCAGAAAUAAAUAUGGAUAUUGAUUGAUAUACUUAUUUCUUUAACAAACUAGGGUUUACUAAGAAUGAUAUUGAUUAUGAAUAGUCACCUAAAAUACAAUAUGCCAUCUUUUUAUAAACCGACUUCAAGUACAUCUUUACUAACAAGAGGAAGCUCUUAAUUCAUUGGAACCUUCUUGUGUCGAUCUGAAUCUCAGACCAAUACCCUCGUUUUUUUUUAUGACCCCUCGUUAUAACAGGUUUUGCCAUUGAUGGAUUUCCCUUGAAAUUAGUGAGAAUCGAAAUAUUCCAAAGCGCUUGCCGCUUGGAGUCUAAACUAUGCACUAGUGCAAAUACAAAAACUAAUAUACCUGAUUGAUAGAUUUUUAACUGAAGUUGAGACCUGAGAGUAAUUUUCGAUCUAGAGUAAAAUAUUAUUCUAUGAUAAACCAACGACAGCCAUAUCUCGUGAAUGUAAAGGUACAUGCAUUUGUCUCGCUAAAAAGAGGUGUGUGAAAUAUCACGUGGUAAACAUAUGAUUGCUUCGCGAUGGAUUCGUGACACGAGAUUUGUUCAUGAAAUUUUUUGGACCGUUAAAUAUACAAAUUGUAUUAAUAAUCAUAGUUUAUAAAAUAGGGUAAAUAAAAAGGAAAGGUUUGGACGAAGAAAAGUGAAAUGGACGAUGGGGAAUUGUGAAAUUGGACCCCACCCACAUUGAUCUUCAAGCAAGCGCUUCGUUCGUUUCGCAAUCACAAAAUUAGCAAAAAAAUCAUACAAACAAACAAAAAAUUUAGCUAACCCGCCACUCAUUCGAUUUCCUUCGUUUCUUCCAGAUUUUUCUUCUUCUCUUCUUCCAGAUCUCUGCUCUCUUACUCUCUCUCUUCCGAAUUUAGGCGUUUUCUCUCUCUAGGAAUCGCCGGAGAAAGCGAAGAAGGUGAGGGGAUAUGGUGGUUGUUCAUGGAGUAUCUGUGACUCCUGGUGUUGUCGUCUCACGCUUCCCUCUUCCCCUGUCUUCUUCUUCUUCCUCUGCGCGACCUCUCAACACCGGCUUUAAUGGAAACUCUUUCUUCCUGAAGAAGCGCCCUCUCACUCGUAAGCUUCUUUCCCUCUCCUCCCUCUAAGACGCCAUUGCUGUACUGAGUGUUAUAAUUGAUUUUAUAGGAUCAUUACCGAAAUUCGUGAUCUGGACUAGCCUUAUCUACUGUAAUUAGUGUGGAAAUGUUCUAAUUAACCUACACUAAGAGCGAGAGAUCAACUGCUAAAUUGCUAAUCAGGCUUCCUAUGUUUAGUUUCUGAAUUAGGUUAGGAAGAUGAUUGCUAUGAACAAAUUGAGUAGAAACAGAAACAUUUUUAGAUCGGAAAUGUGGUUUAUUCAUUUGUUUUGAAGCAAACAUAGUUGCUGCUUUUGGCCUUCGUUGUCCAGAUACCUUGAUUAGAUCCAUGUCUGUAGGGAAGAUCUUUGCUGGGAAUCAAUCUGCCGAGUUUGAUUCUAAGUCACAAACUAUCUCUGCGUCAAAGAAAGUCUUAGUACCUGAUAAUCUUGAUGAUGGUGCUUCAUUGGUCACUGAUGAGCUACAAGGUCCCAGCAGCUUUUCAGAAGAAUCACAGGUGGAUAUCUUGUCAAUCUGUGCUCUUUGAUCUGUGAGUUAUAUAUUGAAACUUUAUUGCAUUACGAAUAUUUAGAUAUUUCAACAUGAACCCAGAAACUUUCCUUUUGUAGAUAUUAAAUCUAGCAAGUCAAACAAUGGAAGAGAAUGGGGCACUAAGUACAGAAGACCAAACGUCUGUUUUUGAAGCGAGUAGAGCUUACAGUAGUGAGAAAUUUGUCAAGGAGAAAGAGGUGAGACCAAGGACAGUUCCACCACCCGGUGAUGGGCAGGGAAUAUAUGAGAUAGACCCCAUGUUGCGGAGUUACAGAGACCAUCUUGAUUACCGGUAAAAAAUGUUUUGUCCGACGUGCUUCCAGUUUUCAUUGUACUAUACCUGCUAUCGAAUUAAGACGACUUGUACAUUUGAUGUAGAAGUUUAUAGAAAUGUCAGAUGUUGUUGUUCCUCUUUAUAUCUCUCAAGUCCUGCAUUUUUGUUUGCUACAGUUAUGGACAGUAUAGAAGAUUGCGUGAGGAAAUAGACAAGUAUGAAGGUGGUCUGGAGGCAUUCUCUCGUGGCUAUGAAAAGUUAGGCUUUUCGCGCAGGUAACUGCUUGCUACCAUCAAUAGCUCUUAAGUAAAUUUUCAAGUUUUAGGCUGGAUGUGUUGCAUCAAUGACGAAGGAGUCAUUAGAUUUUUUUUUUGGCCAUAUUUUGGAUUUGAAAUGAUUUUUAGCCGAGUUUCAUUUUGAUCACAUUUUGCAACUCAUCAAAUGUUCUGUACAUUGAAUUAUCGUUUCUGAUAUCCAUAACUAUUUAUAGUAAAAAAAAAUGUUGAUUUUGGCAGAGUGGAAAUGGGUGUUUAUACCGGUUAGUCUAGACAGAGUGUUCUUGAUUUUGUUUGCUUAAAAUUUUCAGUUCCACACUUAAGCAAAGUCUUCAUCAUUUACAGACUGAAAGGUUGAACACCCAAAAUAUUAGUAAGUAGUCCUAUGUGAUGCUAUUAUGCAUGAGACACUAAUUUAUCAUUAAUCUCAGCUUCGCCCACCCUCCCUCUCUAAUUUCGAAGUAAAGUCGAGUUUAUAAGAUCUGUCUCUUUCUUGAAGCUAUUAGAGAUUUUUGGCAUUAUGUUAAUGCCACAUAACAUGAUUCUAAUUGUUUUUAUUUUCAAUUUCAGUGAUGCUGGUAUAACUUAUAGAGAAUGGGCGCCUGGAGCUAAGGUUUGUUUCUUUUAGUUUUUUUUUACUAAUUUCUUCAUUCAAGAGUGUAGAAAUAAUUCUUGCAUUUGUAUCUCCGCCAACAAAGAAAAAUAUUAGUCAUAGAACAAGGGUUGGUAUUGUCCUAUAGUCUGUGUGAUAGAAACGCUAUGGCUGGUCAUGUGAGGAUUAAAUCUUGCUGCCAGACCUUCGAAAAUCUGAGGACUGAUUAGACGAUAAUACUGAAGAGGAGAAGGUGGUUUAAAUUACCUGUUUCUCAUUGUAUAUUAUGUAGAAUUAUGAAAAGGCGGCACCUAUUUAGGUUUUCUGAUUCAAAACUGAUUCGAGGAGGUUUAGCAUGUUAGUCGUAUCUCUAUGGCAACUUGUACUUCUCGAUUGCAUGUGUUUUCUUAUGCUAUUGAGUAUUUUAUAACUACUUUGGUUGUUUUUUCUAAACUUCUGUCCUCGCAUAUCUCAGUCUGCAUCACUUAUAGGGGACUUUAACAACUGGAAUCCUAAUGCUGAUAUCAUGACUCGGGUAUGGCAUAUUGACUAAUUUGAUUAAAUUUCUUUUAAAUUGUAAAAUUCAUAUAAAAUAUAGUGAAUUCGGAUCGAUGAUUAUCUCAUCGAAUCUUUUACAGAAUGAAUUUGGUGUUUGGGAGAUCUUUUUGCCCAACAACACUGAUGGUUCGCCUGCAAUUCCCCAUGGCUCACGUGUAAAGGUAACUAACAACUCGCUUCAUUUAUUCAUUUUCUGUCUUCAUCAACUGUUGCAUGUUUUUUUCUUUUAAAAAGGAUGGUCUCACUUUUAGUAGGGAUGUUUUUGUGUUGCGUAUUUUUAAAAAUAUCCAACAUCAGAUAUAGAAAAGGGUGAACGCUUUGGUUAUUCUGAUCAGUAUGGAAUGCAUUGAGAGUGCAUUGACAUUGCCUUACUAAAUAUGUUCUGCUUGUCAUGUGUAUAUGAAUAAAAUCACAACUAGUCGAUACAUAUUGGUCUGGAAGUUUCUGAGAAGAUUAUGUAAUGACGAUGAAGUGAUUUCUGAUAUACAAAACUCCAGAUUCGUAUGGAUACACCAUCUGGCAUUAAAGACUCAAUUCCUGCUUGGAUCAAGUUCUCGGUGCAAGCUCCAGGUGAAAUCCCAUUCAAUGGAAUAUACUAUGAUCCUCCACAAGAGGUAAGAUUCUGUAGUCCUUUGAAUAAUUAUCUUGUGGAAAGCGAUAGAGCCAGUACUAGCCUGAAGUUAUUGGAAAUUCAGAUAUAUAGAUAAGUUGGUACUGUCAGGCAAAACUCAGGUUGCUUUCUUAAAUGAUUCCAAACACAGAUGGUUGUUUAUUUAACCAACAAAUUCAGUUCUAUUCCUCUUUAUGAUAUGAACGAGCAUCUGCUACAACCAAUUUAAUGUAUGCUUACAAUUUGUCGUUGGUGUUCCUAUUCACUUCAGCAGAUGAUUUUGGUGGUGUUCUUAUAAACAUCAACAGAUAAUUUUGUUGCCUCGUAACGACUCUAAAUUAUCUGAUUCAGGAGAAGUAUGUAUUCAAACAUCCUCAACCAAAGAGACCCAAGUCAUUGAGGAUUUAUGAGGCACAUGUUGGCAUGAGUAGCACGGUGUGUGUCUCCCUCUUCUCUUAAAUAAUUAUGUUUUGGUCCUAAACAGCUGUGUACCAAAUUUCAUUAUAAAGUAUCAAUAAGAUCUAUUUGUUCAGUAUGGCUAUUGACUAUUACGACGUUGAUUAAGAAUUACACAAAAGUAGGAUAUUUUUCACAGCGAUGAUGGUUUUUGAACAACUCCAAUUUCUGGAAUUUUGUUCUAUAUCAUGUGAGUGAUGAGUAUACUUGUAAUACAGGAACCAAUGAUCAAUACUUAUGCUAACUUCAGAGAUGAUGUGCUUCCACGCAUCAAACGCCUUGGCUAUAAUGCUGUUCAAAUCAUGGCUAUACAAGAACAUUCAUAUUAUGCCAGUUUUGGGUAUUCUUCUUACCUUCUUGAGCUCUAGUAGAAUCCUAGAUAUUUGCUGGCAAUUAAAUUAUAGCUGCAAAAACUUACGUCUUUUGUGCCAUAAUGCUAUUUCACAGGCAGCUAGUAGUAUAGCUGUAUAGUGAUCUCAAUUCUUUUUUUCUUUCUUUUCUUACUGAUUAAAGUUGCUGUUUCUAUUAUGAAUUCAGGUACCAUGUCACAAACUUUUUUGCCCCUAGCAGCCGUUGUGGGACCCCAGAGGAACUAAAAUCACUGAUAGAUAGAGCUCAUGAGUUCGGCCUGCUCGUUCUGAUGGAUAUCGUUCAUAGGUAGUAAAAGUUUUCAUGAAAGCAAACCAUCAGAUCGGUCAUAGUGAGCAUCAGCUAUUUACAAGUUAUUUAAUAUUGUGACUAUAAACUCGGCAGCCAUGCUUCCAAAAAUACGUUGGAUGGACUGAACAUGUUUGAUGGAACUGAUGCUCACUACUUCCACUCUGGUCCUCGGGGUUACCAUUGGAUGUGGGACUCACGUCUUUUCAAUUAUGGGAGCUGGGAGGUAUGUAACUUCUUCCCGGAUUUUAAUCAAAAUUUUAUGAACAUACAUCCUUGAGCACUUUUUGUCAACAUUCACUUUUCUAAACAGGUACUUCGAUAUCUUCUUUCAAAUGCACGGUGGUGGCUAGAAGAAUACAAAUUUGAUGGAUUUCGAUUUGAUGGCGUUACCUCAAUGAUGUAUACUCAUCAUGGACUCUCGGUACUUGAACCUUUUCGACAAUGGAUGGCUAACCUCUGUAGAAACUAUUUGCGUUUUUUUCAUGUUCCUAUCCAGCAUUUUACGCUUGCCUGACAUUGGUUUCUUGGCCUUCUAUUUUCAUGGGUUUGGAUAGGUUGGAUUUACUGGAAAUUACACUGAGUACUUUGGAUUGGAAACUGAUGUGGAUGCUGUGACUUAUCUGAUGCUGGUAAAUGAUAUGAUUCAUGGGCUCUACCCUGAAGCGGUUACUGUUGGUGAAGAUGUAAGUUUUUUUUAAUGCCUCACCGAUCUGAUAUAAUUUUUGAAAAAGUGUCGUAACCCUUGAUAAUUCCUAACAAGACAAGUAAAAAAUUUGCUCAUAUCUUUUCGAGUUCUCAUAUGACUUUCACCGCAAAAAAGGAAAACAAAACUGGCCAUGCUAAUAUAUACUCUGUUAAAUUCUUACGCUCUUAGUGAGACCUCUGAGAAAAAACAAAAAGAAAACAAAAAAAAAGAAGUAACAGACGAAAGAUCUUUCUGCAAAAUAAAAUGGGCUCUACAGAGACAUAAUGUAUACGUAUGAUAGCUAAAUCAAUGUCAACUAAAAAGUAAAAAGUCAAAGUUGGUAAAUAUUCUCGGUUAUGAGCUAUUUUGUGUUCUAUGCUUACAAGAUCGUUUCGAUUCAGGUUAGUGGUAUGCCAACAUUUUGCAUUCCUGUCCAAGAUGGUGGCGUUGGAUUUGACUACCGUUUACACAUGGCCAUAGCUGAUAAGUGGAUAGAAAUUCUCAAGUGAGCUUCUUCUGCCUUUUUUCUACAUUUGCAGCUGCUUUAAUCGAUCUUUGGUGAAAUGAGUCCGUCUUACUCUCCUCCUUGUGAAGAAAGCGAGAUGAGGACUGGAAAAUGGGCGACAUCACUUACACGCUCACAAACAGAAGGUGGUCAGAGAAGUGUAUUGCCUAUGCUGAAAGUCACGACCAAGCUCUUGUUGGUGAUAAAACAAUUGCCUUCUGGUUAAUGGACAAGGUAUAGACGCCAUUAUAGUUGUCUAUAUCCAUUUAACUAACCCUUUACAAGUGAAGUGAAUGGUGUUUGUUUGUUUCCAGGAUAUGUAUGAUUUCAUGGCGUUAGACAGACCAUCAACUCCUCUAAUUGAUAGAGGAAUAGCUUUGCAUAAAAUGAUUAGGCUUAUAACUAUGGGAUUAGGCGGUGAAGGGUACUUAAAUUUUAUGGGGAACGAAUUCGGACAUCCAGGUACACUAUUAAAGCUUAUGCUCACUUACCUACACUAUACGGAAAGGGUUUCGAGACUACAUUUCUUCAUCUUAUCCUGCAAUUUUCAGAAUGGAUUGAUUUUCCCAGAGGCGAGCAGCGUCUUUCUGAUGGUAGCGUGAUUCCUGGGAACAAUUUCAGUUAUGACAAAUGCCGGCGCAGAUUUGAUCUUGUAAGUUCUUGUAAUUUGGUUUAAGCACGACAUAGAUAUCUCAAGCUAUAUAUGCUUUUGCUGUGUUCUGAUUCAGAAUAUUCAUGUAUAGGGAGAUGCGGAUUAUCUCAGGUACCACGGACUGCAAGAAUUUGAUCAGGCAAUGCAACAUCUUGAAGAGCAAUACGGUGUAAGUCUCCAUCUUGUUAAAACCUUUGUCGAAAAUGCAUUAGCUUAAUUCUGAGUUUACAUUUAAAGCAGUUUAUGACUUCGGAGCAUCAAUUCAUAUCACGAAAAGACGAAGGGGAUAGAGUAAUCGUAUUCGAAAGAGGUGAUCUGGUCUUCGUCUUCAACUUCCACUGGACCAGCAGCUACUUCGAUUACCGCAUUGGUUGCUCCAAGCCCGGGAAAUACAAGGUAUACAUAUCUAACUCUAGUUUGAUGGUGAAAAUAGAAUCUGAUCUCUUUUCUACGAUUUUUCACAUUCCAGAUUGCAUUGGACUCGGACGAUCCUCUGUUUGGUGGAUUCAGUAGGCUCGAUCGCAAGGCAGAGUAUUUCACAUUUGUAAGAGAAAGUCGAAACCAUUUAUAUUUAAAGCUUACAUUUAUUGCGGUUUUUCCAAUCUCUUAUACCAAAUCAUGCCAAUGCAGGAUGGCUCAUACGACGGACGGCCUUGCUCGUUCAUGGUCUAUGCACCAUGUAGAACCGCCGUGGUUUAUGCUUUAGCAAACCACGAGAAUUUGGGCUCAGAAUCGUAAAUAAGAGAAGAGAAAGUAUGAGAAAAAAAGUGUUUUUCCUUCAAUAGAUUGAGAUGAUUAUGUGAAACGCUGAACAAGGCCACCGAGAAUGUAAAGUCUGGAAACGAAAAAUAUCUAAAACACUUAACCGGAAAUGUAGCGCUUGAAAUAAACGAUUACCGUUCUUAAAUGAUCGAAUCAAGUUCUUUUUUCUUUUUAUAACCACAAGAUCUAAUAUCAGUUGAAUAGAUGCUAAUAGAAACUUAACUGAAGGAGUUGUAAUUUUAAAAAAAAUUGCAAGAAGUUAUUUAUUAAAAAAACAAAAAAAAGAAGAGACUGGUUUAAUUUGAUUUGGUUUGGUUUCGAUGAAUAGUUCCGGUUAAGAAAAAGCUGUUCCGGGUCACAAGUCACACCUUUUUGUUUACAUUAUAGGCUUAAGAAUCCAACGGUCAUCGUAAACCGCAUCAGAUAAACGGCGAAAUCAAAAAGCAGAUUCUCUGGAAGAAGAAAGAUGCAGCCGACAGAGGCGUCGCAGCCGGCGACGGUGGAUCAGAGCCGUCGUCUUAGGGAUGAGUUAUCGGAGAGUAUGAGCUUCAGCAGCCAAAUGAAGAAGGAAGAUGAGGAGUUGUCGGUGAAAGCGUUGUCAGCGUUCAAGGCCAAAGAAGAUGAGAUCGAGAAAAAGAAGAUGGAGAUCAGAGAACGAGUUCUAGCUCAGCUCGGUCGUGUUGAAGGAGAGACCAAGCGUCUCGCUUUGAUCCGCGAGGUUUGAUCUACAAUCCAUUAUUUCAGCUGGAUUUUUUUUUUUUAUAGUGAUUUUUGAUGUCGAUUUUCCGCUUUUUUAGUGUAAAAUAGAUCAACUUCUCUUGGUUUAGAAAGUCUAAAGGGGAGAAUAAUUCAAACUCUUUUUCGGAUUUAGUAGUUUAGUGUUCUUAAAUUAGAAGCUGGAUAGACGACAAAAAAAAAAAAAUUAGAAGCUGGAUUUUUAGUCUGGUUUUAGGUUUUUUCAGUAUCUAGGUUACAGAAUUGUGGAGAUUUUUCGUACUCGUUUAAGAACAUUGAAUUGAAAUCCACUUUCUAAAGAUGCUCUGGCUCAAGCGUAAACCCUAAUUUGGAAGGGAUGAUGUCUGUUUGGUGACUUUGAAGCUUAAUGGUUAAAUGCAUCAGGAACUUGAAGGUUUUGCUGAUCCCAUGAGGAAGGAAGUCACUUUAGUCCGGAAAAAGAUUGAUUCUCUCGAUAAAGAAAUAAAGCCAUUGGGGCAUACAGUUCAGAAAAAGGUUUGGGUUUUUCUGUUGAGAAUCAAAAUGCUUUUUCUCGGGGAUGCUAAGCUGCUGUUUUCAUAAAGUGCAGGAAACUGAGUACAAGGACGCGCUUGAAGCAUUCAAUGAAAAGAACAAGGAGAAGGUGGAGCUGAUCACCAAACUACAGGAGGUUAGUUCAUUAUGAUCUCACUUCUCUCUACUUUUUCCAAGUAAAACCAAUCAAGGGUCGGGUUUGAAUGAACGUUAUAGCUGGUCUGAUUAUACCACAUGUAUCUUGAUGGUGUGCGUUUGGUCCUAGAAAUUGGUGUUUAGUCCAUAUAACUAAUCUGUUUUUAGCUGUUUUUGAGGAUACGAAUUUCCCAUUACCUUCUUUUAGAACCUUAAACAUAUGGGUAAAGACAUUAGUCCCGUAGAAUUGUUCCAAGACUUAAGAAAGACUCCUAUUACAAUAGGGAAAGUCGUGAUCUUACUGACUGUGGAAUCCAGUCUCCAAGUUUGGCAAUUUUAAAGUUGAACUCUUGACUCUAAAAUGGGUUUCAAGUUUUGAUCAGUGAGAUCAAUAUAGACUAUAGAGACUCAAUAUCACGACCCCCAUGUUUGGGUGAUUUGCAUUGUUUUUGCAAUUAGUUUCUUCAAACUAGAUGCAACUCAUGAUUUUGCUUUUUUUGUUCAAGUUAGAUAUCCAGAAGAACAAUCAUGCUUUUCUUCCAUUGAAACAGUUGUACAGUUGCAUAAAUCUAAAGCGUUACUUAUGGCACUUUGAUUGUGUUCUUUUGUGACGGUUCUGAGACAGCGAGACUUAAUGGGUUAGUUUGACUUUUUGAAUGAAUGUGCGCAGUUGGAGGGAGAAAGCGAGAAAAUGAGAUUCAAGAAGCUGGAAGAGCUAAGCAAGAACAUUGAUCAAACCAAAGCUUAGUGUUGGACGAGCAUAGUCACUGGGAUUGGGCUAUUUAAAGUUAUCAAAUAUAAGUGGUAAAAUCACGGUUAGAGUAUUUCCUUUGUUCUUCUGUCAUUCUAGUCAUAUAUAUAUAUAAAAUAAAAUAAAAAGUAACAAUGGUUUUGAACUAAAUGUUGCAAAGAAAAUGUGAUCCAAUUUACAAUGUCAAGACAUUAUCGAUGUGAUUCGCAAAUUUGUAAUAAUAAAUGUAAAGAUCUAUGUUUGUUCUUAGGCACUUUGGUGCAUGGCUAUAUCACCAUUUUGAAAUCUCUUUACAAAUAUGUUUAAGACCACACUGAAAAUUUUGACUCGAGAAUUUGAGCUAUGAAUGUGAAAUCAGACUGAUGAGGUUUAAAGGAUCAAGUUACUAGAGGACAGAGACACAUACUAGGAUCACGUUAAGAAAGUAAUGCAUUUGAAAUAAGGGUUAAAGACCAUAAUCAGCCAGAACCAAUUGAAACCAAGAAGGAAAAAAAACUAUAUAGAACUAACACAUGUAUAUUGUUGGAUAUGACACGGCGUCUAUACAUGAAAAAUGUUAAAUAUCUAAUGGAACGUAAAGAAUAUUUAUACGAUGGUAUUAGGUUCGGAAAUGAAUAAAAAUAGGUCCACGAGCAGGAUGUUACUUCUUUUUGCCAAAAUUGGAAUGUUACUUGUACAUCAGCGUAAUCGCUUUAAUGAAGUCGGUGACGCAGAGAAAAAAGUGAAUGGGUGUUUCAGUUGAGAUGUUGAAGGCACGCAUCAUAAGACCUCGCAAGCCCACAGCUAUAAAUGCGACGAUUGUCGUUGUUUAUCAAAUUCACGAAUUUUUAAUUAUCGGAACUAACUUCUAAAUAUCACACUUAAUAAUUUGUAUUGUUAUUAUCUAAUAUUGGUUUGUAAAUGCUUCAAUUUUAAUGAGAAAAUAUGAUACUCCAUUAGUUUUACGUUUUGAUUUUCUACCACCGAACCAAAAAAAAAAAGCUGGAACUAAAUAUAUUGUAUUUUAUGUAAUAGAAAUAAAGUUUCCAAACUUCAAACAAAAUUGUUUCAUAUUUUCCUUCCAAUUUGUGUUCAACAUUAAUCUGCAGACGAACACUUGAGACCUCAACUACCAAAAAUGUCCGAUAGAGCCGAAAUUUGAAAUUGUGUGUCUUUUUGUAAAUUAGACCAAAAUUUAUUAAAAAUCAAAUAUAGAGGAUCCAAAGGAAUAUGGAAUAAUCAAACAUUUGGUUCGGUGAUACAUAAUAUCAUCAAUGAUGUUUCCUUGUAUGAGCAUCUCUCAAUUAUUAUAUUCAAUGUUCGUGAAUUUACAAUAGCUAAUCAUAAUUACCACAUUUACUAUAUACGUUCCAAUUUUUAAACCUAUCGAUAUGGAGGUAUCCGUGUCUCUCUUUAUAUUAUGUGCAUAUAUAGACAUAUAUAGACUAGGCCUAAUAUAGACACAUGUUUAAUGCAUUUUGGUUGCUUUAUCAGAAUACGUAUAACUAUUCUCUAUUAAUUGUUUGUAAAAACCUUAUGUGAUGCUCGAUAUCAGUGUUCAAAAAAUCGGUCUACUCGGCGACUAGGUAGCUGUCUAGGCGGCUAGUCGGGAUUAGCCGAUCCAAUUUUCAUAAAAUCAGUGAAGCAAAUUCGGUUUAGUAAAAAAUCGGACCAAGGCGGAGAAAAUCAGAAAAAUCAGAAAAAUCAGACCAAAUCGGCAAAAUCGGCCAAAUCAUACUAAUUAUUUUUAUCCUUCUUUCAGUCAAAUUUUACGGUUUUGGAUAGUAAACCAAUAUCGAUUUACCGAAAAAAGUGAAAAAAACAAGAUUUGAAACGUGGAUUAGGGUUAAUAACUUAAUAUAAUCAUCUUCGUUCCUCCCUGCUACUUCACUUUCAUAAACUACAAGAGGCGAUCAUUAUUCUUUAUUGCUGAACUUUACAAGUUUGUUUAAUUUUCUCUUUAUCUAUCUGUACAUAUUAUAUAACUAUAUUGUAUUCUCUUAAUUUGUCUUUUUUAUCUUUGUUUACUUUGUUUGUGCUCUGUUUUAAGUUUCAACUUUCAAUUUUAACGAUGAGCCUAGAGGAGAUAUUGAUUCCGACGAUGAAAAUGAUAUAGCUAUUGAUUUUGAAUUUGAGUCUGAAAAUGAGCAGGUGGUAGAUAUAUAUGGAUGUGUUUGAAGAAUAAGUUAGAUAUAUUUCUCUUUGCUUUAUAUUUUUAAAGUUUUUAGAUUAAAACUUGUUUUAGUUUGAAGAAUUUGAUGAUUUUUAGUUUGAUUUCUUUGUUGAACUUUAUUCUAUAAUUUUAUUUAUUAAAUUUUCUUAUUUUUUUAUUCAAACAUAAAUUUUGAUAAAAUAAUUUUUAAGAAAAUAAUUAAAGCUUUUUAAAAAAUAUGAUAUAUAGACAGAAAAUUUAUAAAAAUUAACAAAAAUUUUGCUAACGCCUAGGCUCCGCUGAUCUGCUCAAAGUUUAAUCCCUAAGCUAUUCUGCAAGAGCACAGAUGUGCAGUUGUAGUAUGUAGGGGUCGAACCACAGAGACAAGAGAUCACUCAAUAAACCUUAUAGAGAUUGAAUUACGCUAAGCAGAAAUAUUGUAAAUGAAUAGCAAUGCAACAGAAUUAGACUAAGCAGCAAUAAAAACGGUUUGUAAGAUUCAGAUGGAUGGAGAUUAGGCUUAGGGCGUUUCUCAGGAAAUCAAUGCAUGCAGAUCAAUCGAUUAGUCAGGGUUCAGGUUUAAGCACAGUUCUUGAACUCGAUCACAGAAUUAUAAUUAAUCAACUUCCGUUGUGAGAAUUAUCUAAGUCAAAAUCCUAGAAUUCCAAAUUCCUUUGCAAACCCUAAAGAUUUAAACCAGCUUUAAUGCUCAAGUUCGAUAUGUUCACAAAGUAUCUAAACCAAAUUCCUUUGCGAAUAGCUACUUUGCUCACCCUAGGUUCUUUCCAGUUAUUCAAUUACACUUCCGUGUCAAUUAAGCAACCUAAGAUCUAAGUUCUAGGUGGCCAAUCCAGAAUUAGCUUUAAGAACAACCUAUGGUGAAGAACAAAUAGAUAUGAACCCUAACUAACCAAUCAAUCUAACAUCCAAUGAAAUCCUUUAUGAGAACCCUAAACCUAACAAGCAAACUACUCAGACAUGGAGAUUGAAGCAAUAAGCAUGAUUGCAUAGCUUGCAGUAAGCAGUAAAUAGAUUAAUAAACAGGGGUUCGAAAUCUUCUCUCUCCGGAACAGAGUUUCAGACUUAUCUCCCCAAAAACUCUCAAAAACAAAAACUCUCUCUAAGAAAAUCUAAGGUAAUCGUAAAAAGGGAAUAAAAACCCUAUAUAUAUCUCUAAGACACGUUUUGGGCUUCCUUGAAAACAUUUGGGCCCAACUCCUUCUUCAAAUAGGAAACAAAAUCACGUUUUCCUUCUUUCUGCAACAAGUGUCGCGCGUCACUCUCCAUGGUGUCGAGCGUCACUAAAGCACAAAAUCCAUACUUGACAAAUUUGAUCCUAAUUAAGCUCUAAAGUGCUCCAAAGUCUCCAGUUAAGCUCCAAACGUACCUAUGACCUGAAAAGACUCCAAAAGACUCGAACGACACUAAAAAGACUCUAUAAAUAAGACUUAUACCAUGGUUAAAAACCAGAAAAACCAUGAUAUAUCAACUCCCCCAGACUUAGCAUUUGCUUGCCCUCAAGCAAACAUAACACCAAACAAGAGAAAGAAGUUUGAAAACACAGAGACUCAACCUUUCAUUGGAACAUCGCUUUUGACUGAUCACCCUGCAACUCAACUACUGCUUCAUCAUUCCAAAUCAAACCACCAUGUACUUCUCCGUAGACAUUCACAGCUUUCCAGAUUAAGUCCAAAAUUCCACAACAUGGUCCAUAAACCUUCAUUGCUGGAUCUCACUGAUCAUUCCGAUACCUAGAACCUUCUAGAUUCUUUCCCAUUCUGUACUUAAACAAAUCAGCCAUACAAACUUUGGUACUUUUCUCUCCCCCAGACUUGUUCUUUUCGCACAUUCAUCAUCUCUUUUCUUCUUCAAACGUUUUUUUUUAGGCGCAUACUCGAUAAAGGUAAAGCUGCGAGUACUGAUGGUGUUUGCCACCAAGUCCCCGAGUUGUCCCCUUACCUUGUAUCAAAGGUUUUCAGCGAAUAGUGGGGUCAUGGGAAACAUUCCUACCCCUCACUUCCUUCCUUUGUGUGAUCAUUCCAACUUAGAAGUGAAAUAAUGGGAUCAUUGGAAACAUUCCUAGCCCUUCACUCCUAAGCGAAAAUCAUCUCAAUCUUUUUGCCCUUUUUCUUUCUUUCUUAGCUCGUCACAAGGGGGAGAAAUACCAACAUUAAAUUUCACACAGGCAUUCAUUGAUCAAGUACGAACGAGGAAUCAAGCUCUAAGACAUUAGUCACAUCAGCGAGUUAAAAGUGAAGUUCAGAACUUAGCUCAGGUUAGUAGAUUCUGUUGGAAACAUGGACGCCUCUAGUCAGCUGGUCAGCCUUUGGAUUUUCAUUAGUCGGAUCUAGACUGAAUCUGCGGCAGUGGUCACUUAGGUGAAAGGUCAGCACAAUAAUUCCAAGAAAAGCAUCAUGAUCUCCAACAGGUUUUGACUCAAAAACGUUUUGACACAGCUGACUCUUAAGAAAAACAAAUACAAUGUCAGCAACUACCUCCCCCGGACUUGAAUAACACUGUCCCCAGUGUUAUCUAGUCCGAAGGUGGCGAAACAAAAUAAAAGAAACAGAGAAACGCAGGAAAAACAGAGAACUUACCUGGCUGCAAUGAUGGUGUCGCGCGACACUGAUGAUGGUGUCGUGCGACACUUGUUUUCCUCGUACCGAAUUGCAGCAGACCAAUCCGAAUUUCUAGUUUGACUCCGGUUGCCUGAUUUCCUAAUUUUUUUUUUUUUUUUGAAUAGAAGCAAGUGACAAGCGACACCGAAGGUGGUGUCGCUCGACACUAACAUCUGCUUCACCUGAGACACGAAAAGAAAAACGAAAAUCAACUGAAACAAAAAGACUUAUGUACAGACUCACCAGUGGAUUGCCUUCCAUCAAGCGCUUGUUUAAAGUCAUUAGCUUGACUAUGGAUAGACUAUGCAUCUAGUGGAUCAGACAGUGGCAAAGAGUGCCUCUGUGAAAUUCGUCUCAUCCAUGGUGGUGUGUAAGCGUUAUGCGCAUGAGGUCGUCCAAGGAAUGCAGGAAUAACACCAGGGUGAGAUCUGUGUUUGGGUGGCCUUGACCUAUUCCCUGCAAUAUCAUCAAACGAAAAACCAAGUGCUCUACGAUAAUCUCGUAGCUUGCGUCGUGAGACAGAGCCUGCAUCCUUUGAAUCAGUUCCAAUGAUAUCAUGAGAAUUAUGCUUAGGCUCAAGAGGUGCGUACCUUUGCUUUGGUGGAGAUGGAUGGAGUGCAAUGUUUGGAGCUUCUUGAUCAACAGCAGUCACUGGUUCUGUAGACGUUUUCGUCAACUCAGAUUGAUCUCUCACCAUCUCAGCAUCAAACACGUUAUGAUCUCCAACUAUCACUUCAGGUAUUGCAGUGACUUGGAAUGUCUGACCAUCUAUGGUGGGAUCCUUCAGCUUCUCCAUCUUGAAAGUCAUGAUGGUAUCUCCCAGGUGGAGAUCAAGGUUACCAUGCUUGACAUCAAUCACCGCUCCAGCUGUAGCUAAAAAAGAUCUUCCCAGGAUAAGAGGAUCUUUGGGUUCCUCUCCAUAUUUCAGAACCACGAAAUCUGUAGGAAUUAUGCAAUCACCAACUUUGAUUGGAACAUCUUCCAAGACACCUUUUGGGAUUCUUUUAGACCAAUCUGCUAGGAGCAAAGAGAUCUUAGUUGGCUUGAAGUCAGUUAUCCCAAGGCUAACAGCUACAGAGUGUGGCAUGAGGUUGACACUCGAACCAAGAUCACACAGCGAUCUCUUGAACCUCUCUGAGAAGAUAGAGCAGUCCAAAACAAAACUUCCUGGGUCCGAGAGCUUUUCUGGAAUCUUAUUAUGAAUCACAGAACUGACAUGUUCAGAGAUCAUCAUCGCUCCUUCCUCAUGACCCAUAUUAUUCGUCACCAUCUUCUUCACAUAGUGUCUGAGAGUAGGAGCAAUCUUCACAGCAUCAACCAAAGGAAUCUCAAUCACAAGCUUCUCCAUCAAAGCCUUGCAUCUGGCAUCAUCUAGCUCCUGCUUGGACUUCCUAGGACUCCUUGGGUAAGGAACCUUAGGUUUGUAAACCUUUUCCUCAGCAGAUUUCGGACUUUGAGCAAUAUUAGUUUUGCUCUGCAAUUGGUGACGCGCGACACUGGUUGUGGUGUCGCUCGACACUGGCUCUGCAGUUUCGAAAUUUUUUUCAGAUUCGUCAAACUCCACGAUUUCAUCCUCAGAAACACCCUUUUUCAGCACAGGAGUCAACUUUUUACCACUCCUUGACGAGAUGGCACUGCAGUAAUACCUAGGAUUGGUAUCAGUCUUCCCAGGAAGGAAUCCUUCUUGCCUUUUUACAGACUCUGCAGUCUGAGCAACCUGAGUAUCAAGCUUCUUGACAUGAGUGUUCAGAACUUCAAUUUUUCCAUUCAGAUCCAGAUAUAGAGCAUCAAUCUUCCCAUUGAAAUCCACAGUCAUCUUCUGCUGACCUUCUAAAAUCUGUUCCAGCAUAGACUUCACCUCAUUAUCUGGAGUUUGAGUAGGAAGAGAACCAUAGUUCCUUGAAAACCUGUUGUUGGAGUAGGAUGUCUGGUACUGAGGUUUGGAGCUGUAACCAGAAGAGUACUGAUUACCUGUGAAGGUACUCCUCUGAUUAUUUCCAUUCUAAUUCGUGUUCCCUUGCCCAGAACCAAAUCUCUGACCCUGAAAUCCAGUUCCAUUGAUGAAGUUAACAUCCUCUUCCUCAAAAGCUUCAUCUGGUCCGAAAUUCUGAACUCCUGCAGGGUAUCUGACAGAAUUCUUACCCACAAGAAGACUAUGCACAGAGUCAAGCUUAGCCUUCACCUCAGCAAUUUGCGAUCCAUCCAGGUUCCCAGCCUGCUUCCUUCGCUGAUAGUCUGCAUUCUUGGUACUAUUGCUAGAUGUCAAGUUUUCGAUGAGCUCAACAGCUUCGUCUGGGUAUCUGGUGUUGAAGUUUCCAUUGCUCGCUGCAUCAAGAGCCAUCUGAUACCUCCAGUCGAUACCUCUAAAGAAAAUACCCAGCAACUGCACAUCGCUGAAGCCAUGAUGAGGACAGUCUCGCUGGUACGAUUUGAAUCGCACCCAGGAAGCUUUGAACGCUUCAGUUGGUUCCUGAGAGAAGAUUGAAAUUUUCGUCCUCAACUCCUCAGACCUAGUAUCAUCGAAGAAGUUGUGCAGGAAAGCAUUCCUGGUCUCUUCCCAAGUAGUGAGUGAUCCUGGCUACAACUGCUUCAACCAGUUAGUUGCUUCUCCAGCAAGAGAGUAAGGAAACAGCUUGCAGAGGAGGAAAUCAUUGGACACUCCAUUGUAUUUGAUGCUGGUGACCAAGUCCUCAAACCUCUCGAUGUGAUCCAUAGGGUGCUCAUGAGAAAGACCAUGGAAAGGAUGCUGACCCACGAGAGUGUAAUACACAGGCUUGAGCUCAAAAUCAUUCCUCUGAAACGCAGGAGCGCGAAUCGCAGACCGAUUUGCAUAGAAUUGCUCAGGCCUGUUGUAGUCACCCAGCGUCCUGAUGAUGUUACCCUGUCCAUCAAGUCGCUGGCCUCUCUCAUUGCACACAUGACCCUCUCGGUCUCUCCAGAUUCCAUCAUCAUCACGAACAAGUCCAAUGGCGUUUUCCAUCAUUGUCGGAUCUCUUGCUUUCCUGUUCGUUCGCUCUAACUCAGCUAGCUCCUCGUUGCUCAAAUUAACUAGCGAGAUGUCCUUGUUGCUCCUGGUUCCACGAGUAUGCAUAAACCUGAAACACCAAAAACAAAGAGAGAAAACGAAAUAAGUAAACUAGGUUAUAAAAAGAAGGGUGUCGCUCGACACUAGGUCGAAAAACUUAGUCGAAACUCAAAAACUAGGUUCAAUGGCGAAAUCAAGUCCCCGGCAACGGCGCAAAAACUUGAUCUGCUCAAAGUUUAAUCCCUAAGCUACUCUGCAAGAGCACAGAUGUGCAGUUGUAGUAUGUAGGGGUCGAACCACAGAGACAAGAGAUCACUCAAUAAACCUUAUAGAGAUUGAAUUACGCUAAGCAGAAAUAUUGUAAAUGAAUAGCAAUGCAACAGAAUUAGACUAAGCAGCAAUAAAAACGGUUUGUAAGAUUCAGAUGGAUGGAGAUUAGGCUUAGGGCGUUUCUCAGGAAAUCAAUGCAUGCAGAUCAAUCGAUUAGUCAGGGUUCAGGUUAAGCACAUUUCUUGAACUCGAAUCACAGAAUUAUAAUUAACCAACUUCCGUUGUGAGAAAAUCUAAGUCAAAAUCCUAGAAUUCCAAAUUCCUUUGCAAACCCUAAAGAUUUAAACCAGCUUUAAUGCUCAAGUUCGAUAUGUUCACAAAGUAUCUAAACCAAAUUCCUUUGCGAAUAGCUACUUUGCUCACCCUAGGUUCUUUCCAGUUAUUCAAUUACACUUCCGUGUCAAUUAAGCAACAUAAGAUCUAAGUUCUAGGUGGUCAAUCAAGAAUUAGCUUUAAGAACAACCUAUGGUGAAGAACAAAUAGAUAUGAACCCUAACUAACCAAUCAAUCUAACAUCCAAUGAAAUCCUUUAUGAGAACCCUAAACCUAACAAGCAAACUACUCAGACAUGGAGAUUGAAGCAACAAGCAUGAUUGAAUAGCUUGCAGUAAGCAGUAAAUAGAUUAAUAAACAUGGGUUCGAAAUCUUCUCUCUCCGGAACAGAGUUUCAGACUUGUCUCCCCAAAAACUCUCAAAAACAAAAACUCUCUCUAAGAAAAUCUAAGGUAAUCGUAAAAAGGGAAUAAAAACCCUAUAUAUAUCUCUAAGACACUUUUUGGGAUUCCUUGAAAACGUUUGGGCCUAACUCCUUCUUCAAAUAGGAAACAAAAUCACGUUUUCCUUAUUUCUGCAACAAGUGUCGCGCGUCACUCUCCAUUGUCGAGCGUCACUAAAGCACAAAAUCCAUACUUGACGAAUUUGAUCCUGAUUAAGCUCCAAAGUGCUCCAAAGUGCUCCAAAGUGUCCAAUUAAGCUCCAAACGUACCUAUGACCUGAAAAGACUCCAAAAGACUCGAAAGACACUAAAAAGAUUCUAUAAAUAAGACUUAUACCAUGGUUAAAAACCAUAAAAACCAUGAUAUAUCAUCCGCCUAGUCUCCAACUAAUCCGCCUAGGCGCUAAUCUCCUAUCAUCCGCUUAGCUACCGCCUAAUGAUUUUUUGAACAUUGCUCGAUAUUGUAUUAUAUGAUUUUUUCGUGAAUUAAAAAUUAAUGGUCGAGAUAUUAUUCAUAAUCAUGUGUGUUGUAUAGGUAUGUCAUCGUCUUUUACUCCGAUCAAAACUAUGUGUGUGUAAUUGUGACGUGUUCGGUGCCGCAGUGCCGCAAUUUGUAUAUAUAUGUUGAUUAAUAAGCGUAAAAUAUAAAUGUACCGGUCGUGCAUGAGCAUGGAGGAAAGCAACAAAUCGAGCGACACGAUCCAAGUUUAAGAUACAUAUGGAGACAUAUUGUCUCACAAGAAGUCAAAGUCACAUACUUUAAAAUUAUAUAAUUGGACCAAAAUUUGUUUCAUAAUGUAUCUAUCAAAUUUGUUGGCGUAUAUAUUCUAGAUAUUAAUAUAUCUUCUACAUAAAUUGUAUUGGGACGUGCUUCUUUCGCUAUGCCCAUAUCUCUUCGAUAUCUCAUCUAUCGGUUCACAUGAAUAGAAUAGCCGUAUAAGUACAAUACGAGUUUCGAUUAAUAAAUUAUACAACACAUCUAUGUAUAUAUUACUAUAUCCAACAUCGUAUAUGGUCAUACAUGCUGGUAUAAAUAUCUUGUCUGUUUCCUAACUUUCUUAAACCGAAAAUAAUAAAAAAAAUUCAAUGGCUUCUUCCUCGGAACCUUCACAAAUAAAAGAAAAUUCACAAAAUCUUGUUAAGAUUAAUCAACAAAGAAAAAGAAGAAGAUAUAUAUCAAACCAAACGUGCAUAUAAAUAAUUAAGUGUAUAUAUAAUAAUCGCCGGCUUCAGAUCAUUUAUGACUAAUAAACAUGUUAAAUACUAAGAAACUAGGUUUGCAGAAGAAAAAAAAGAGGUAAAAAUGUUAGUUUCAAACUCUUUGUACCUUGAUCAGAUCUCAAGUUCAGCGUUAGAUAUUUUUUCUUUUUAUUUUGUGUUAAACUGUUUUAUGUUUUUCUCUGGUUUUAUAAUUAUCCUCGAACCAUAGAAAUAGUCGACACAAGUCACACAAUCAAAGGUUUAUUUUCCCUGUUCUAUAUAUUUUUCAGUGGUAAACUAAUAGUCUUACGGAUUUAGUAUAUAAUAUACUCCUUCUGUUUCAUUAUAGUUGAUUUUCUGAAUAUUUACACACAGAUUAAGAAAACUAUAAAUGCUUAAUUAUUUAUUAUUUAUUUUUAUUAAUUAAGUUACUUUUACAACUGAUUUCAUUAUUUAUAUUAUUACUUUUUCUUUUUUAACUGUGCAUUAAUGGAGUAAAGCAACAUGCAUUAAUAUUAUUCAUUCAAUUUAAAGAAGAGACAUGCAUUUAUUAGAUGUAGGAAAUCAAAUAUUAUGAAAUAAGAAAAAAAAUCUAAAAAAUCAACAAUAAUGAAACAAAUGGAAUAGAAUUAUUAAAAUGAGAAGAAAAAAAAAACAAAUAAAUUCUGGAGAAAAGAGACGAAACACCAAAUAAAUAAAUAAAUAAAAAAGAGACAAAAUCUCGAAAAAGAAUCCAAUGAGGAAAACUACCACGUCAUCAAUCGGCGAGUGGCCGCGACUUGAAGACGCCCCCCAUAAGGCCAUAACAAGCGGCUGGACAAAACGCCGACCUUAUUUAACACGUGGCAGUAUGUGGUUUAACUCACGUGUGGCUUCGUACACGAAGCUUGUCCUACUCCUUUCCUUAUGUGGCGGUGCUCUUUAACUAAGAGUUAAAAAAAAACAUAAACAAAUGAUGGGCCCCAUUUUGAUUUUCUUAAUAUUCAUGAAUCGAUGUUAUUGUCUCCUCAUGUCUUUUAACUACUUUCUAAAAUCAAUAUGAGUUAAAUUGACUAACUUUACUUAUUCAGUUAUUAUUCUAUAUAACUAUCUUCAAAUUUCAAUUUAUUUGUAAAACUUAUACUUUUGUUAAACAGGUGACGAGGUGAGGAUCGAAUAAUCUACGUAAUUUAUUUUGAUUGAAUUAUAAUGUUAUUUUGACAUAUGAAAUUUUUAACAAUAUUAUUGUUACGAUAACCAAUAAAUUUUACAUUUUACUAUGUAAUUUUUUUUUUCAACCUAUGUAAUUUAUUGUUACCAUCAGAUUGAAUCCUAAAUUCCUAAUGGAUGGUUGAUCUCGGGGCAAAAAAAGUAAUGAAAUUUGAGUGGCUGAGAUACAGUCACACCGAUUACAGGGAUAUUUCAAAUUGCACCGAUUUAUAUUUUUUUAUAAAAAAUUAUGAUUAAUUUAAAUGGUGUUUAUCAAAAGAAAUUCGCUUUCGUUAAACAUGUUCCAAUGCGGGGGAAAAACAUGUUCUAUGGCUUUUGGACUCAAUCUUUUUUUUUUUUUAACAGUUGCUGGCGCAGUAAUACAUCUGUGUGACUAAUUUAUCGUCAGUUUGAUUAUUCAUACCAAAUGUCAUUCGGAAUGGUUUUACCCGGCAUGUACCAAAUAAGUUGAAUAUAGGACUAAAUUAAUCAUGUGAUUAGACUAAUAAUUGAGAGCCCAAAGUUAUAAAAUAACGUCAUGACAAAUGAAAAACAAUAUAAAAUUUUAGUAUGUCCUAAGUUUGUCUUGACAUGUGAAAACAAGAAGACUAUUGAGAAACCACUCGCCAAACAGCCAAACACCAACCACUGAGAGCACCAACCUUUACCUAAAUACACAGAUGAUUAUUUAAAAAAAAAAAAACUUCACAGGUUAAGUUUAUAACUGAUACAUUAGUGUUAUAACUUAUACCUAAUUACUUAGUUUUUGAGAUAAAAUAAGUUCGAUCUAUUAGUUAUAUCCAUUAUUGUCGUUUGAGAUGUUGUCGGGAUUUUACUAUCUGACUUGACUACCAAUCCUUAAUUAAUAGGGUCGUGUGAUUAAAACCCAUAGUUCCCUACCACUCCGAUCAUCUCCCAUAUUUCUAAAUCUAUAUCUGGAUUUUAGUCACUUGGGCACAGGGAUGUGUAAUUUUUACAGUAAUUAUAUGUAAGCAAUUUGUGUUUGAGUUACUUAAUCUGUAUAAUUAAUCGAGUUACAUAUUAUCGAAUGCUUUUUACUUUUCCUUUCUUUUUUGGUCGAAAAUUGCUUUUGACUUUGUUUAACCUUUAAUUAGGAAGUUUUAAACUCAUCCUAGUUUCUUGUGGCCAUAACUUUCCACGAGUUAUGUGUAAAUUAUAAACUGUCUUCAAACACUGGUCUCAUAAUUAAUGAGUUGCUUUCUAGUAAAGUGUCUCAAUCAUACAAAUGUCGUUGUCGAUGCCAGCUAAACACAAAAUAAUAAGUAGGAUUUCUUUUUGUUAAACAAGGUAGGAAUGUGCCUGUCUAUCUUAUGUAUUUGUAGUUUAACAUACCAACCUAUGUUAUAAGUGAUAUAUAUAUAUAUGUAUAUUGAUAUAUAUUUCCCCACAAUCACUAAUCAUUUCAAGUUUGAUUAUCAUAUAACCUAGAAAAAGGUUGUGAUCGUGACCCAAUCUAAAAGUUGAUCAUCACGCCAAUAAAGAGAUAGUCAGUGAGGUCGUAAACAUUCUUAUCUUGAUACGUUAAUAGAAAGAAAGUGACGUAAAUUGUUCUUUAACUCUCCCAAUCCACUGCCAUGUAUUUUACAUUUCAUUUUAUAGCUAGAUUUACAUGAGAUUGCGAUUGGUUAAAUCUUCAUAAUACUUUUCUUGCAGCUCACAGUAGACAAAUUAUCAAAAUCUGACUCCAUUUACAAAGAAAGCAAAACUCAUGUGGUGACACCAAAACACUAAGUGUAAGGUUUUUAUUCCAUGCACAUUCGUAACAGUUAUCAUGGAAACGAUAAUUUGAACUUUUCAUUCCCAUCCACAGUUACAAAUGGUUAGAGAGUGUUUAUAUCAUUUUUUCACUUAAUACUCCGGUAGUUAAUAGUCUUAUAUGGAACGUUAUCAUAUGUUAAUAGUCUUACAUGGAACGUAGUCAUAUGUUAAAAUUUAAUUAAUUACUUAAGAAAAAGAAUUACGAAACAAACUUUUGGGGUGGCAGUGACUGUGUAAGACUCAGAAUCUCUUUUGAGGAAAAAAGAUAAUUAGUUUUCAUAUCAUUAUCCACAACUUCUUUUUAAUCAUUGUAUCGUAAGUGUGAUGAAUUAUCUAAGCCACGGUGAGUCUGCACAUUUCUUUGCUGUGUUUUUAUGGGCUAUUUUUGUUUCAUUUUUUUACAGAAAUGAUUUCGUUCAUUAUAGUAUAAUACAAAAAGAACGCACCAAACAUAUGGAAAUGGUAUAUAAUUAAAUGAAUUUAUUCCGGCAUCGCUUGGUUUGCUGCUGUAACUGUAAGAAAAUAAAACUAAUAGAUUUUGUUACAAGUCACUUAACUCAGAAUUAUUAAUUUUGGAAAAUAUCUCAAAAAUAAUUACUUGUCAAUAAAAGUUAUUUGAAAUAAUUGUCUUUAUUUGAAAUUAAUUGUGUUGCAAUUUAAGCCAGAACGAUGUGAUGGGAAUACUUCAACUCUAUCCUCGAGCCACAUACAAAUCGUCGACUACCAUACAAUGAAUUGAUCGGCUUUUUUUGGAGUAAUAUUUAUGACAAAGUUUAUUUCCUGCCUAGGAUUCUACCAACUUGUAAAAAAUACUUUUGUUUUUCUAUGAUAUGGGAAUUCGCUUAUCUCAGAUUUUCUUGGGUAGUUAAAACGUGUUUAUUACCAUAAAUUUAAAUUUAUUAAUGCGAAUCUGAGAGACCAUUAUGAAAAGCUGGACCAUUUCACGCACACCCAAUGGCUCCAUACAGUAAAAUCUUAUUCCUUUAAAAUAAUUUUUAACAUAUAAUAAUUAACCUAAUGUUUUGAUGUUAGAUAUGCCAACAAAAAACAUUGAUCCAUGCAGUUUCUCCUAUCAUAUUAAUCCGAUCUUCAAAACAAUUUUAACAUUAAUAUAAGCAUACAAGCUGCAAAAUCGGUGGUCAAUGAAUCAGACGUCGGUAGACUGUAGACAUCGUGAUGCAGCUUUAGCUAAAUAUUUUGAGUUUGAGAUUAUCACCAGUCUGGCAAUCUGUUGGUGGGUAACUAUUUAUUACUACAACUUUGUGACAUGUUGGAAUCAAUUUUCAAUUUUUUAAUUAAAAUCAUUAUUCUGUUUUUCGACAACAACAAAUAUUCAUCCAUAUCCUGUUACUAUAUAUGGCAAAAAAAUUUUUACUGAAUUAGAAAUCAUACAAAUGCCAUUUAAAUUUUCGGAGACUAAUUUAUGCAGUAUUAAAAUUACUGAUAGAACACAAUGAACUUAGUUAUUUUCUGUCAAUAUAUAUGGCUUAUCAUGUAUAUGUACGUAAAACUUCCCUUCAGCCACAUCAUACAAUAAAUACGAAUAUUGCUAUACGUUAAAGAAAUUAUCAUAAAAAUCAUUUUAUUCUAUAAAAAAAUUAAUUAUAAAGUCAGUAAGGAAAUUUAAAUCACAGUUUGUGUUGCUUCUCAAUUAACGGAACGGUAUGAUAAAUGAACAAAAAAUGAUUUUGCAAAGCUGUUUGAUAGGAAAACAACAUAUUUAGAAAUUAGAAUUACGUAAUGAUUUUACUAUUGCGUCAUUCAAAGGUUCUGAUCAAUCAAAAACAUAUACUCACAAAGAAGACAUAUUUUUGUGAAAAUACAUCAUACUAUUUAACCUAUAAAACUUUCACUCUGAAAAAAUCUUUCAAAUAAAUUCGAUUUUAUAAGAGCCCCACCCCACCACUAGAAGCAGAAAGUGAUUGAAGGAAAGAAAACAAGGCACGCGUUGCUCUGACCUAAAUACAUAUCUGGGAACUAUAUAAGGAAAUAUCUGUAAUCAACUUUAUUAAAAUUACCAUUCUCAGAAACACAAUCAUAAUUACUUCUUUUCAAAAACCAAAAGUUACAAAAAGUUUUUUGUUUUAAAUUAAAGUUGAUGAGUUUGUGUAUGGUAACCAAUCAGAUGACAGCAAUAAAAUGUCGUACCGUGUCCUUUUUACUGAAUCUCUACGCACGAGGAGCAUUGUAAACGCUUUUUUCUGUUCCAUUUCGAAUUGUAAAAAUUUGAAUUUCCCUUGCAGAAAAUUGUUUCAUGUGGUAAUGAACCUUUUUUUCUAAAAGAUCAAACUAUUUUCAGUUAUCAUUCUCAAUAAGUUGAGAUCCAGAUAUAAGUGGAAGAGGGUCUUGCAACUUUAAAACAACAGUUAGUCUAAUUACAAUAAUUUUUAUGUGAAGUUUCAAAAUACAUAAUUUCACUAAUGAAUAAACAAAGAGAUCAAAGGAAAAAAAAGAGAUAAUAGUAUGGAGGUGGUGACUGGUGAGAAAAGGGUCGUCAAAAAAGUGGAUGGAGUCAAUAUCCAGUUCCUACAAUAAAUUGGGCAUGCGUGUUUCUCCCUUUUGUCGUUUUGUAUUCAUUUUUCUCAUGAUUUCUUUUAGUUAACCCUAAUUAUUCCUCUUCUUCUUCUUCUUUUUUUUUUUUUUUUUUUUUUUUAUCUCUUUCCUUCUUUUUUGGUCUAAUCUUUCCCUCUUUGAGAUCGUCAACGCUUUUGCCUUUGGAGGAAAAAGAACAUAGUUUCACGGAAAUGUGAAAACCGAAAACAACUAUUCGAUGCUGUUAUUGACCGUUAGUUCUUUUUCUUACUAUUUCUAUAAAACAUACGGAGAUGAAAUAUAAACAGAAAUUUGUUACUCAUCAAAAUCUAAAGAGGAGAGAAUAACUAGAGGGGAAAUAAAUUGCGUGCAUGAAAAUAAUAAAACAACGGAGAGCAAUUAAAUAUAAAGGGGACCAAUUCGAUUAAAUAAAUAUUUUUUGUUCCCCGUUGGAAAAUGGCUAUAACGUUGAGGUUAAUUUAAAAUAUUAUAUUUUUGUUGGUGUGCUCUUAAAUCACCCAUUAACAAGCAAAAAACUAGACUAAAAUAAUAAUUUUAUAAUUUUAUUUUGUUUCUUCCUACCUACAACUAUUUACUUAGCCCUUACCUCGAUCUUCUAAACCAUCCACAAUUUUUGAAUCACCAUCACCAUCUAUCUACCUCUCUCUCUCUAGAAGAGUUCGAAAAAAGCUCUCUUUAAUUCCAAAUUGAAACCUUUGAAUAGAAACUCACGAAAAGUAUUGCUCUUUGUUCUACUCUGUUUUUGUUGUUGUUGGAAUUUGAUAAAAUGGCGUCUCAGAGACAACUAAAGGAUCUUCUAGAGGAAGAUCAGGAGCCGUUUCAGCUUCAGAGCUACAUCUCCGAUCGGCGUUGCCAAAUCAAUCCUCCGGUAACGCAUUUACAGGUCAAGAAACGCAGACCCAUCUCUCAAAACGCCGGGCUUCCUUCGCGGUUCUGCCGCAACGCUUGUUUCUUCUCCCUACGUGAAUCCCCUGACCCUAAGAGAUCUCCACUCUUCGAACUCAAGUCUCCGAAUCGGAGACAAAACGCGAUUUUCCUAAAUAUACCUGCCAGGACCGCUUCGAUUCUACUAGAAGCUGCGGUUAGGAUACAGAAACAGUCGUCGUCGGAGGGGUCGAAAACGAGGACGCGGAACGCAGGAAACGCGUUUGGGAUAUUCGGUUCAGUGUUAAAGAAGCUGACGCAUCGGAAGAAACGCGAAAUCAGCGGCGGCAAAGAGGUUUCUUCGGUGAAAGAUAUGUUGAGAUGGGAAUCUCCUGUUGUUCGUAAAAUAGUCACAAGAAAAUCAAAACGCAAAGAAGAAGGAAACUCCUCCCAAACGCAGAAAAUCGCGUCGGAGACGCAGUUCUCAAGGAGGUCUAGUAGUAGUGGCGUUUGGUCAGAGAGUGUUACCAACGGAGAGGGAUCUUGGGACUGCGAUUUCGAAACGUCCAUUAGCUCCAGCAGCCGAUCGGACGGUUUAGAUGAGUUUGCGUGUGGGUUGAUGAACGGUCCAGAUUUUUCGGAGGAUAAACGUUUUGGUGAAAGUCCGUUUCAUUUUGUUCUCCAAACUACGCCUUCCCCUCGCGGUUUCAGAACGCCGAAUUUCUCGUCGCCCGCGGCUUCUCCACGCCACGAUUGUCAAGAGGUUUGUCUCUUUCUCAAUUAAUAAUGAUUACAUUAUUGAUCAUAUUCGUUGGGUAGGAAUCGAAAAUGAAAAAAAAAAUACAUAAUUGAUGUACAUAAUAAUUUACUAAUCAUGAAACGCAUUGGUGUUAUUAGUCCCCUUUUUUUUGUCGUUGGUGUUAUUAGUCUAUUACAUUUGAAAUGUGUGAGAUAUUUUCCAAAAAUAGUAGUCUAGAAGUUAAUUAAUGACUAGUUUGACUCGUUUGAAUUAGUGGCAAAGUAAGAAUGAUUACAGUAAAUGACAAAAAUACCCCGAAAACUCAUCAGUUGGCUCUUUUCGAAGAGUAAGAACAGUUGAAGACAAAAGCAUUAUUCGUCUUUUCGAAAAUUAACUCAGCCUUAUGUGUUGUUGAAAACAAAGACGAUCUUUGUCUCUGACAUGCAAAUCUCUCUCUCAUAUUUUUGUUUUUUUGGUUUUUUUCUACAAAAAUUAUUUAGCAAUAGAGUCCAAAAUUUUGUCACUGUCUGUGCGUUUCCACGAAUCUAAAAUAAUCAGUCAAGUUAGAAUCUAAUAUUAAGUAAUUACUUUUCUUUUGAUCUAACUACUUAAUUCUGUAUAUAACAGAUGAAGAAAGAGAAUUAUGAAGUAGAGAAGCUAAAGAAACUAGAAAUGGAAGAAGAAGAAGAAGAUAAGGAACAGAGCAGCCCAGUUUCAGUUUUGGACCCUCCAUUUCAGGACGAUGACGAAGACAUUCACAUGGAUGACAAUAACAUCACUUCCAGCUUCAGAUCUGUACAAAGUACGCUUUUUUCGAACCACUCUUUUGUCUUAAAUAUUCAUCUUUCUUUCAUUUAAUUCGGAUAUUUUCGGAUCAUAUACUUUACCCUACUCAUUUAUUGUUCUAUAUUACAUGGUUUAAAAACUGUUGGAUCCGUUGUACUGAAGAUAUGUUUUCGAAACAGAACAGUGUUUGUUAAAAUGUCUCAGUGAACAUUUAUAGUGUCACGAAUAGUGUUGUUAUAGUGACAUGUGCAUGUUAGUUCACGCAUAGUGUUUGGUAAAGUGUCUCACUGACAGUUUUGGUUGUGACAAGUUCUUUUAGAGAUUUCGGAAAGUUAGCAUUUUGUGUAUAUUUCCGGUUUGUUAAAUAGGUAGAUUUCCUUUUCUCAUACUAUUUUUGUAGGUUUAAUUUGGGACUUUGUAUGAAAUAAAACAUUGUUUAUUCGCCUUUGAUUUCUCACAAGUUCGAUCAUUUAGACUGAUGAUGCUUGGAUCUCGAUUUACAGAAGCAAAGCAUCUGCUUCUACAGAAGCUCUGUAGAUUCGAGCAACUGGCGGGUUUGGAUCCCAUGGAACUCGAGAAAAGAAUGUCAGACCAAGAGAUCAAGGAGGAGAGGGAAGAAGAAGAAGAAGAAGAAGAGAUGAAGAAUCUUUAUCAUUGUGAGAUUAUAACACAGAGAGUUCUUAAAACGUACUUUGAAGAUAUGACAGAAGUUCCCGAAGGCAUAGAAGCAUUGAUCUCAGACCUUGUGGCAGAGGAAUUGCCAUUGCCAAACGACAACGUUUUGCAAGACGGUGAAGCUCAAGUAGGCAAAAGGGUAUGCGAGAAAUUGAGAUCUUGGAGAGAUGUGGAGUCGAACACAAUCGAUAUGAUGGUCGAACAUGAUUUCAGAACAGAGAGUUUGGGAUCAUGGAGAUCAAAGAACGCUGCAGAAGUCGCAGAGGCGGUUUUGGAUAUCGAGUUUGAGAUUUUUGAGGAUUUGGUUGAAGAAUUAUCAGAAUACAUUGGCGGAGAUCGGUGAUCGGUUUGAUAUUCAGGGUAGCUUCCGUCACAAGUAAUGACAACUAAGUGGGUGUAUGUAAAAGUUUUGCUUGAUGAGAGAGUAUUAAGAUUUUUUGUAAUUUCCUUAUGAGAAAUGAGAAAUUCAUACGAUCGGUGAAGUUAUCAUAUCUCUCGGGUCGGGUUUUGACCCUGAUGGGUUCUAAAUCAGUAGUUGUAGUUGACAAAUUUACUAAAUUAGAGAAAAUUCCGAUCGAAAUGUAAAAUUGAUUCAAACAGAUGCAAAGCAGCAAAUCCCAUAAUCGUCGUCAUUCGUCGUGAGUAAAAAUAUACUUAUGGGCCAAAUAAAAUACAUUUGGUCUGCUAUGUACGGCCCAAAAGGCCCAUAAGGCCCAAGAAUACGUUUUAUAUUGUUUUCCUUCCUUGUUUCCGAAAGUCUCAAAGAUGAUAUGUGUACAGUAUAAAAAAAUAUAACAAAAAUAAAUAAAUAAUAACACACUGAUUGGGCCAAUACUGAAUACCCCAAUGAUAUAACUAUUAUUACAUAAUAUUUUCCCAUAACAAGAAUUUUAUCGAUCCCAAAGUAAUUGUGUGGUCCACUGUUGUCAGAUUAUAAACUUUAACUUAUUUAAAUCAUAUUUGUCAAGCAGGUGGAUCUUCGUCAUCGACAAACUGAACUAUUCACUAGAUUAGCAACUUUUUUUUUUCAAUUACUCGUAAUAAAAUCUGGAUUAAGAUUGAAUAAAUUUUAGUCUUGGAUAAGAAUUGAAAUUCCAGAUUCGUCUUAAGAAAAAAUCAUGCAAAUAUAAAUGUAAAUGUUAUAGAGUGGGUUUAUAAGAACUGGAACUGAGAUAUAGAUUUUUUUCCGUAAUUACAUAUCCAUAGAUUUCUUUUGCCUUCCAGGUCUAGAGAGAAGAUGUCUUUCGUAAUAUAAUCUAUAAUUUAAUAUAAUUAAUUGGUCAAAAAAGUGCCUUUAAUCAACUAUAGUUCUCAUGUUUAUAUACUACAUAAUCUUUCAGAAAAAGACAUCUCCACUAUUAUUUUCCUCUUUCGUCUUUGACACAUUGUUUAAUGUUACCUUUUUCGGAAUAAUUUUUAAAAGAGUCGAAUUAGGCCAUUGUUUCAUUAGUAUUGCAAUGAUAAGGUUUUUUAAAAAAUUUACUAAAUUUCACAAGUGACUAAAAUUUGCCGUGAAAAGAACGGUACCUUGAUAUAUACACUGAUUUUACAAAUCUACUAUAUACUUCUCAGUGAUUGGUAUGUGAUUGUAAAAAAAUUGGAUAAUAAUAGAAUAAUUAGUGAUGACUGAUGAGUAUAACUAGUGGGGUUAUUAAUAUUAAGGGCCGUAAAUGGGAUCACGGACCACGGUCCAUCGAUCAUUCCCUAACCAGAUAUUUAGUCUAUUGCAUUUUUUGUCUAGAGGUUUGACUUUAGGGACUAAAUUCUACAUCACAAAAUGCUCAUAAAACUAUAUAUUCUUCUUAUUUUAUCACGCUACCAUAUAUGAGCUAUGACGUGAAAACAACAGUAUAACCCAAUUUGAUCACAAUGUAUCCAUCUAUCUAAACGAAAAACUGUAACAAAAAAAGAAGAAGAAGACAAACUGUAGAGAACCGCAAAGAAGAAAAUAAAAUCAAAAGCGGUAGAGGACCGCAAAGAAAAGAUGGUAACGUUCAGACAUCAAUCAAAAUCAUUUUUUUUUAUCAAGAACCAUCAAAUGUAACAAUAUGAAUUCUUUUUGGUUGAGAAGUCCAUUAGCUUACUGAUCAAGGAUUUAAAAACUGUAAUAUUAGGUUUGAGUUUCGGUUCCUGGAAAUUUUAAAAUAUUCUAUGUAACCAUUCGUCUAAGUUUUGCAUAUUGUCGAGAAAGCUGUCUGUUUUAGAUAUGAUGUAUAGCCAUGUAGGUGAAACUGAAACCAAAUGUCGUUGAUCUUUGCAUAGCAAGGAAAACUACAAAGUAGAUCGUAAAUGUCAUUAUUCAUUAUUAUUGCAUGAUCGCAUAUGCUACAAAAUUAAAUUCAUUAAUUAGACCCAAAAAAACUCAUUAAUGAUGAUCAUUUAUAAUAUGAUUAGAUCAAUAUGAUGCAAUAAACGAUAAAAAAUAUAAAAUUUUUGGAGUAAGAAAAAAUUAGUUACAAAGUACUAGUACGUAGUUAUUUCAAAAGAGUAUUGCUUUCAUAGGAAAGAAAAAUAAUAUAUUCUAUUGACAGAUCUUGAUAGGAUCUUUAAAAGAACUUGUUGUUUUUUCAAAAGGGCAAUGAAAAAGAGAGGGGUAUUUUUCUCAAAUAUGCAUACGUGCCGUUAAAUCAAAAUUCAAAAUUUCAGAGAAGCCUUUCUUCUUUUCUAUGAUUUUAACGUUUUAUCUUUUGAAAUCGGCACAAUCCCUUUCUUAUAAAUCAGUUUUCUUUUCAUAUAGAGUUUCUCCACCUAAUUCUUGAGGUCGAUGUUAAUGGCAGACCCUGUUUAACCUUUCUGUCUUAUAUAUUAAUAUUAUAUAACUUUUUUUAUAAAAGGGUCAUAUAUUAUAUAAUUAUUUGAAAAAGAAAAGAAAAAGUUGCGUUAAAAUCACUUAUAUGAUUUGAAAAUACACAAUCUGUUAAUACUACGAAUGACACAAUUGAAACUAUGGAUCAUCAUAUCAAAAUGGAUAAUUUGUACAGAAAGUCCAAAUAACAGUAUUAUCCAAACGAAAGCCGAACCAAAUUCGGGAUUGAGCACUCCUUAACCAAAAAUGUAAUCAGCAUUUCUGAUCGUUCGUCCAUUUUUAGAUCUUCUCUUUCUUUAUUAUUGACAUUCCGGAAAAUAUCUACUUACUAAGUGUGAAAGUAUGUAUUACUUAAUCUGUGAUACCAGAUUGUGUAUAUAGUAUAUACUUUCAGGGUUCCCAAAUGCAUGCAUCCGUCGUUUCAAACCUUCCAUCAACAUGGGCCUUCGCACUAUAAAAACCAUUUUUCCUCUCAUCCUUGUUUUUUUUUUUUUUUCUUAAUAGAAUUAUAAAAGGAAAAGGCAAAACCUAAAAUUAAGAAAAAGCCAAAAAAAAAAAAAAUCCAGCUGGUGUGUGUGACCCCACAUUCUUAUCGACAUCCAUCAAUGUACCCCUCUUAUCAAACAUCGACUAUAAGCCAAUACAUACAAUUUUCUUUCCCUUUUUUUUUUCUUUCAAAAUUGCCUCAUCGCUUCAUAAAAAAUAGAUGACAUACUUAAGUUGUUCGUAAUAGAGAGAUUUUUGACGAGUAUAAGAGUUGUAGAUUUCAAAUAUAACCCUAGUAUCCUACAUAUAAAUUAUUAUUUAGUAAUCGUGCAGUUUUCCAGAACUUUAUACCUUAAAACAUCUAAGCUAACUCUCUCAAACGUUCUUGAGAAAACAACGAAUACUCAGGAUCUGUUAUAAUCGUGCCAUGAUUUGCCACGUCUGCAUUGAAGAAACAUGAGAUUUUGGGCUAAUUCGUUUGCUGCAGGCUGCAACACCUGGUAAUCUGAUAUGCAUCUUUUAUUGGGUCAUUCGUAUAAUUAAAUGAGCGAUGUCUUAUUGCCUUUCUCUUGAUUUAGGAAGGCAUUACUCACGAUCAUAUUCAUAUUCUGGAUGAUAUGAUAUUUUUAAAUUUCAUAAAGGCACAUAUCACAUUCAUGGAGAAAUGAAGGACCAGUUGGCAUGGAAAAGAUACGUUUAGCCGUUUACGCAAUCAGACAUAUGAUUUGGUGGGUCGAUGUUCGGUUUAACAUCGGUUUAGUUUUCCUUAAGAAAAAACAACCAAAAAUUAUAGAAUUAGUUUUUUAUAGUUAACUAAAUUCUGUUAGAUCAAUCAAUAUGACUAAAAAUAUGGUUUCCAGUUUAUAUUUUUCUCCGGGUUAGGUUCGGCUAUUCAAAUCAGUUCCAGCAUUUUCUCUAUCUUAGGAGUUAGGAGAUUGAGCUUUCUCCUAUGUGUUUUGUUCUAAGAAAUCCAUUUGGCUUUACCCUACAGCUUUUCUUAUAGUUUUACAAAAAAAAUUCUUAUUUACAAGAAAAAUGAAAUUGUUUUCUUUUUCAUCUUCUUAAAGUUCCUUCUUGUACUAGCAACCAAUCUAAAAUUAAUAAAAUAACUGUUAGAGAGCAAUAAUGGUGGAUUUCACAAAACACUGUGCCUGUACAUAUGAACAUACGUAUAUGUAUGUACAUUGCAUGGAUCGAACGUCUACCUACGUGAAAAGCAAGUCAUCAGGUCUGACCACUCUGAGAUCCAGACACUCUCAUUAAUAAUUUUCCUCUUUAAUUUAUUUAUUUUCAUUGGUUUUUUAAGUUUUCAUAUAAUUUAAAGGACGUCAAAAAAAAAAAUACAUAUAAAGAAAUAUGUUUUCUUCUAUUUUAUUUGUCGGGCUUAAGACAAAGACUGAAUGAGCAAGACUGAGAUUCCUCUGUUCAGCAUGUUUCCCUUGUUAAGAACUCUCUUCUCUCUUCUUCUCUUACAGUUACUAUACACUGUCCAUGAUUUCAUCACUCUCUACGUACUCUGCUUUUAUUAAUAAUUAACUUUUUUUUUGUAUUUCUGCAAUAUUAAGAAUUGAUUGCGCAUCUCUCUUUCCACACCAGUUAACACCUCGUUAUAUUAUAUCUUUAGGCAUUAAAGAAAAAUUAUAUUGUAAUUGUCUAUAUAUAUAUAUAUAUAUGUUGCUUUUGUUUGUCCUUGACUCCUUUCUAAGAAAUAAUUACAUCUUCACUUAUUAUUCUUUAAAAAAAAUCCAAAGUGAUCAUUAUGAAUUUGUCGGCAUCUAGCUAUCGCAUGUCAAAUAUUAAUUAAGUAAACUAAACUAUUGAUUGUUUGGAAAUAAGAACCCUAUUUCUUCAUGAUUUUUGAUACCGUGGUCCACAACUUUGUGAGGAAGAAUGUCUUUCAGUUUUAAAAUUUAAACGAUAUGAUUGCUGAGGAAUAUUAUAGUGAUUCAUACACAACAAUGUAAAGAUAGAUCUUGUGAACAAAUUAAAGAGAUAGAUCUUCAAUGAUAGAACAAAAAUAUAUUAUAUAAAACAGAUCAUGGUUGAGGCAACUUUUCCUUUUUUCAAUAAAAACCAAAGGUUGCUUUAACGAGAAUCAUGACACUUUCAUAUCAAAAAGGAUCAUAGAAUAUAAUAAAAUCCCGGUUGCUAAUGUUGUAAAUCUAGGAAAUAUUAACUCGGUGUAUAUUUAGUUAAUUGAAGUUGAUCGUAAGUAAGCCAUAGUUUGGAUGUGUCAUCUCAUCACUAGCUGCUGAAACUCGUGUUCAGUAAUUUUUUAGUUAAAAAUUGUACCCUCAUAUGAAUGCUAUGCAUUUUAUUUAUCGUAAAGUACGAAUUUAUAAUCAAUGUAGGAAUACUAUGGUGAUGUACGAAUGAAUAAAGGCCCUACCGCAUAUUAUCAAUUAUUAAUGUUAUAUAAUUUGAAAAAUUAUGGCAUGCAUGUGUACAUAACAUCGACCCAUCUUAGUAGAGUUCAGAUUUUAGUUUCACUUUCGCGCAAAAGCAUGCUACUUCGUCUCUAGCCGAUGUGGAAAUUAUAGGCCACCUCUAGGACACCUAAGUUUUUCAAGGAUACGCAUUCAUAAUUGUAAAAUUUUAAUUUUCCUAUAUAGAUUUCUCAUUUUUCCUAUAAUAUGGUUACAUCAUAUGCUUUUUAAUUUGUGAUGGGAGAGAAGUUUAUUUGAGUCCACACUAGUUCAAAUUAUUCUCUAGUAUAAAAAUAACACUAUGGAAUGACAAUAGAUAAUUUCAUAAUAAACAUUUUUUUAUUGAAAAACUUAGGUGUCCUAGAGGUGUCUCGUAUCAAUUACCUCAAUGAAAAAAAAGAAAGAAAGAAGGAAUUGUCUCAGAGGAAGGAGAAUGACUCUGUGUCACUAUUAAAUUCAAUACAACUAGAAUGUGAUUAUAUUGUGAAUUGUUGGUAGCUAAAAAGGAAUUAAUAGCAAUACCCUGAUAAUAGUAUUAUUUUAUUUUAUUUUUAGGUUUUGUAUACUAUAGUCUAAGGUAAUUGUGAAAUAUAUUUUCCAAAUAUCUAAAUCGAUUUUUUUCUUAACAAAUUAACUAGGUGAAUGACUUUUAAUUCAAAGAACUAGAUUCCUUAUACUAAAGAUAGAAACUCAAAAGGAGAAGAAAAAUAAAAAGCUAAGGGGUCAAUUAAUUUGGCGGUGAUGAAACAAUAAAUAGAUAGGUGACAAAUGCAAACCCUAACUUGUCUAUUUGCCCCCAAGCCAUGGAAGAAAGAAGCAAUCCAUUAUUUAUUUAUGUCCUAUUUAAAUAAAAGAAAUAAGAAACUGAGAAUAGCAAAUAAACUAAAGAAAGCUCGAACAAAAAAAAGAAGAAAGCAAAAGAAGAAGAAAACGGCAUCGUUUCAGGCGUGUCUUCUGAGGAACUGUUGAAGUCUCCCAUCUCAAGUCAAUAAAAGGUAAACUUUCUAGGGGUCCUGUAAUAUACGGCUAUGAAUAUGACACGUGUCUUGAUCAUUAAAAUAUAAUAAAAUCUUGUUCUUUUUCCUGCUAUUUUUGUUUUUCUCAUAAUCUUGUUUCUUUCUCCAUAACUAACUUUUUAUAAUGAAAAGUUCUGAUUCAUUUGUUCAUGACAUGUGAUAACAAAUAAGUGGAGAAUUUUCUACGGUUUAACACCUUACAGACGUUCUCUAUAUAUUAUCUCCGGUAUGCGUAAAGAUAUAUGGAUUCAUAACCAAUUGUUUGAUCGCGGUUGAAAUGUAGUAUUUGAAUUAUGUAUAUUAAAUUUGAAUGUGAAUGUUCUAAUUUCAUGAAAUAAACUCCGAAAAAUGGAAUUACUGAGAAGGAAUUAAAAAACGUAGUGAACAUUAGGAUUGAAGCAAUAAAAGUGUCAAAAAGGAACAAUAAAGCCAAAUGGUUAGGGAUUAGACAGGUUGAAAUGUUGGGGAGCAUAAAAGCCAAUAAUUUGGUAAUUUUUCAGAGGACCCCCUCUUAUUGCGGCCAUUUAAUUGCAAUUUAAUUUCUAAUAAAUUCACACACAUGUCUCUCGAAUUAUAUCUUUAAAGUUCAGUAUGCAGAAGAACCUUUUUUUAAAAGGAAUGCGAAGCUUUAAAAGCUGAAUCGCAGAUUUAAAAGUAAAACAAAAGAUAGAUGAAUCUCUUUAACAUGAAAAUGGAUCGUCAUAAAUCUAAUUUUCUUAUAAGAAAAACAAAAAUUUGAUUUUAGGGUAUAAACUUAUAGGAUUAUAUAUUAAUUUGGUUUGUGUGGUAUAUAUAUUCCAGUUGUAUAAACACUAAUGAUUAUAUAGACAUUUCUUUCUCUAUGAAUUACAAAUAUAUAAAUGAACAAAUAUCUACUUAUUUAGGGGUUCACAGUAAACCAACUUUUAUGAAAAACAAAUCCUAGAAAGACAGGAGGCUGAAGCCAAAUAAUGAUGUUGCCUAACAAAUCAAAGGAAUAAUUUUAUAGGCAACCCUUUGUUUUCCAAAAAAGUUGUAUCAAUUAUGGAGUCACAUGUGCAAAUUGCAGUAAAAUCAUCCUCAUAAAAAUACCCAAAUAAUGAAAAGUCAUAAUUAAUAAGAAAAUUUACAGAGAGCCAAACACAAGUUUCUUCAGAUAACUAUUUAAGCCAUAUAGCUAAAACUUAGUUUUGAAGGUGAAAAACCAAAUUCUAGAGCCAAAUUAAAAGAGAUCGGCCUCGAUCUAUGAUUGUCUCUAAGUGAGACAAAACCUUACACUGAUAUGAAUAUAUACACAUCAAUGCACACAUGUAUUCAAAUUAUUUGAUAAAGAGAGAUAAUGAAAACUGAGACACAUGAUACAAAUUAGAAACAGAUAUAUACAAAAUCAUAUACAAAAAGAUCUGUAUCUAGUAUCCAUACAUCUCUCUUCUCUCUCUCUCUCUCGCCCACACACAUUCAAGAAGAAAAAAAAGAUUGUUUAUUAAUUCAUGGGACCAUAUCGUCUCUGUAGCUUACAUUCGACCCUUUUCGUGGACUACACGAUCUGUCUCUCUCUCAUUCUCUCACACUCUCUCAUUCUCUCUCUCUCUCUAAAAAAGCUUUAGUCCUUUCUCUCCUUUUUCUUGGAAUUAAAAGGUUGAACCUUUACUUUUUUUUUUCUCCCCUCACUAUCGAUCGAUCUUCUCAUUCAGCCAAAAAAUGGAGGAUCAUCAUACUCAGUAUGGUAUACCGGAGCUCCGGCAGCUCAUGAAAGGCGAAGGGAGGACGAUUACGACGGCAUCACCGUCGACUUCUUCUCAUUUUCCCUCUGAUUUUUUCGGUUUCAACCUCGCUCCUGCUGCGCCGCCGCAACACCACCGUCUUCAUCAGUUCACUGCUGAUCAUCAGGAGAUGGGCUUCUUGCCACGUGGCAUACAUGGAUUGGGUGGGGGUUCUUCAACGGCUGCAAGUAACAGUAACUUAAACGCGAGCACUAGUGGUGGAGGAGUUGGGUUUAGUGGGUUUCUCGACGGAGGAGGUUACGGCGGAGGCGGAGGAGGAGACGGCGGGGGAACGGGGAGAUGGCCGAGACAAGAAACCCUAACUCUGCUGGAGAUUAGAUCUCGUCUUGAUCAUAAAUUCAAAGAAGCUAAUCAAAAAGGACCUCUCUGGGAUGAAGUAUCUAGGUUUGCCUCACUUACCCUCUCUCGAUUUUACCCUAAUCUCGUUCUCUCUCUUUUUAUUUUCCGUUUUUUUUUUGUCGUAAAAACAUUGAGAAAGAGAAAAAAACUUUAUGCAUAUUUCUCAAACCUCUUCAUACUACAAGAGUUUGAUAACUUUGAUUCGUUGAUAAUGUCUUAGUUUAAAGUUAAUCAUAUAGGAAACAAUUAGUUUCCAAUUGAGGAAAUUAAUAACAUUUGUUGCUGAACACUGAACAGCUUCCUUCUUUAAAAAUAUAUAUUUUAAAAAAAAACUUUGAGUAUUUUGUUUUAUGGGUUUUCUUUCAGAUUUGAAAAGAUUUGACCUUUCAUACGCUUUCUUGUUAAAUAUUAGACCUUUCAAGUGAAAAUCCCGAAGACAAGUUUAAUCUUUUUUAAUUUAUUUCUGCAUUGAUAACUAGAAAGAAUGUGACCUCAACACUUCCCUUGGUAUCCUCAAUUUCAACAUACUUUUUCAGCUGAUCAAUAUACACACAUAUUGAUGUGUAUCUACAGAGUGGUCAGUUUCAUACAAUUUCUUUAGGCGUCGUUUUGUUUUGGUCAAGAGAAUGACCAGACCUUGGCAGUUUCAGUUAAGACACUACCAGGUGCUUUAAAAACCCAAAAGGGUAAAACAUAAACAAGAGUAAAACAAAAAGAUUCAUUUUCUUCUUUGACUUUGAUUAAUUUAUUUUUCUCCUUUUUUACUGAUAACUUCUGAUUCAUCUUUCUUAGCUUCUGAAGAUAUGUACCCUCUUCUUUUGUGUAACUACGCAUAGAAACAUGUUCUUGUGCUAAACUAUUAGUCCACUAGUAUAAGCCUCGAAAACAAUAUUGGUCCGAAAGUUAUAACCAGUGUAUGUUAGAAAAAAACAAACUUUAUGUGGGUCACUAUAUCUAAUCUAAGAAAAUACACCAUACAAUGUUAUUUAUAUACAUAAACACACACACACAUAUAUAUAUAUAUAUGCAUGAAAAUAAUGAAUAUGAAUAUCGUAUGAACAGUCAAUGAUUCAAAGCUAGUUUUAAAAUUAGGGCACUGCUUCAAAUUUCAAUCAAAAACAUGAACUAAUGUACUCUUUCUUAUUCAAUUUGUUUUUAACAUAUAGGAUUAUGUCAGAGGAACAUGGAUACCAAAGGAGUGGGAAGAAAUGCAGAGAGAAGUUUGAGAACCUUUACAAAUACUAUAGGAAGACUAAAGAAGGCAAAGCCGGAAGGCAAGACGGUAAACACUAUAGAUUUUUCCGGCAACUCGAGGCGCUCUACGGUGACUCCAACAACUUGGUUUCUUGUACCAAUCACAACACACAGUUCAUGAGCAAUGCUCUUCAUGGUUUCCACACUCAAGCCGCUAUGAACGCUACCACAACAACGUCCAACAUUCAUAACGUUGAUAGUGUUCAUGGUUUUCAUCAUCAAAGCCUUAGUCUUUCUAACAACUACAACUCCUCCGAGCUGGAGCUGAUGACUUCGUCUUCUGAAGGGAAUGAUUCUAGUAGUAGAAGGAAAAAACGGAGUUGGAAAGCUAAGAUCAAGGAGUUCAUUGAUGUGAACAUGAAAAGGUUGAUAGAGAGGCAAGAUGUUUGGCUUGAGAAGUUGACAAAGGUUAUUGAAGACAAAGAGGAACAAAGGAUGAUGAAAGAAGAGGAAUGGAGAAAGAUUGAAGCUGCGAGGAUCGAAAAAGAGCAUUUGUUUUGGGCUAAAGAGAGGGAGAGGAUGGAAGCUAGGGAUGUUGCGGUGAUUGAGGCAUUGCAGUAUUUGACCGGAAAGUCGUUGAUAAAGCCGUUAUGUUCGUCCCCAGAAGAGAGGAUCAAUGGUAAUAAUGAGAUCCAAAAAAAUAGUGAGAAUCAGAAUGACAACGGAAGCGAUCAAACGAUGACUAACAACGUUUCUAUUAAAGGAAGUGGUAGCUGCUGGAAUGAGCAAGAGAUCAUAAAGCUUAUGGAGAUAAGAACAAGCUUGGACUCGGCUUUUCAAGAGAUAUUGGGAGGGUGCUCGGAUGAAUUUCUAUGGGAGGAAGUCGCGGCGAAAUUAAUUCAGUUAGGGUUUGAGCAGAGAAGUGCCUUGAUGUGCAAGGAAAAGUGGGAAUGUAUAAGCAAUGGAAUGAGGAAAGAGAAGAAGCAAAUCAACAAGAAAAGGAAGGAGAAUUCGUCCAGCUGCGGCGUGUACUAUCCAAGAAACGAUGAAAAUCCUAUCUACAACAAUCAAGAAAGUGGAUAUAAUGAUAAUGAUCAGCAUCAUCAGAUGAAUGAACAUGGUAAUGUAUGUUCGUCAACAUCAAACGCAAACGCAACCGCUGGAAAUCCGAGCGGCGCAAUGGCGGCUGGUACAAAUUGCUUCCCAUUCUUCAUGGGAGAUGGAGAUCAGAAUUUGUGGGAGAGUUAUGGUUUGAGGCUAAGUAAAGGAGAGAACCAGUGAGUGAAUUUCUCCCAACGCAGGAGAAGACGAGGUAGAAGGUGAUGAUCAUGUGGUUAACUAAUUCUUUUGAGUUAGCUAUGUAUGAGAUAAACCUUGACUUAACUAUUAUAGAUAUAUGUCACACUGUGCUUAGAAUGAAGGGAUACACUUUCUUGUGCCUUAACGAAUUAUAUGUCAGCAUGUAUAAGAUGAAAGUCAAAUGAAAGUAUGUUUUAACUUUUAACCAAUGAUUCAUAUGUUUUUAAUGUAUUUAUUUUGUAAGACUUUUUUUUUAUAUCAAUCAUUUUUCUAGUAUUCAACUUUAAUCCCAAUAUCUAUGGUAAUUCAAAGAUCGCAUCACCUUAGAUCAAUUUUUAUAAAGAUAAUUGGGAUUUAUUUUUCACACCCAAAGGCAUAAGACACGCAAAGCCCGACAAGACAUAUCAUAGGAAUAGGAUAACUCAAAAAAUCUAAUCAUGUUUGUCUUGAAACCACUUCACAUUUAAGUGUAUUCCUCGUGACCUUUAAAUAUGGUAUUCUACAUUAUAAAUAUUCAUACUUGUUAUAUCAGCAAGACAUUUCCCCAAAUUAAACCAAAAUUUCCGGGGGUUUGAAUUAUUAAAUAUUUUGAUAACUUACAUGAAGGAAUUGAUUGUGCCCAUACUUCAAUGCUUUUCUUAGGAAGAUUAUUUAUACAUUCGAGAGCAAUAACAUAUGCCAGACGGUUCUUGCCCAUUGGUUUCACGAUAUGUUAAUGUUGAUUGAGGUGUGAGACCGAUAAUCAUUUUCUUUGAAUGUAUUUUAGUUAGAGUUAUACUCUAGAAAAAUCUGUAUAUAUUAAAGAAACAAAAGGAUUUGUGAUGCUUUGUCUUUUAAAUUUGGCUUGGUUACGAUAUUCAUUUAUUAAAAUAAUAAAAACGUAAAAAAAAAUAAUUUCUAUUCAGUUUUGGUCCAACUUUUCUGCUAUGGUUUAGUUCAUAACAUUUUAAAUGGAUCAAACCCUUCUACCGACUUUUUUUUAUUAUUUGAUUGUUGUAAAUCGGGAAACUUGGUUAAAAUUUGGUAUAGAGGACUUAACAUAAUUAAUGUGUGUACAUAAAUGGAGAUACAAAGAAAACAUACAUAGAAGGCUAGAGAUGUAAAUUUGGGGUAAUCCUAGAGAGAGAGAGAGAAAGAGAGGGACAGAGAGAGUUAUGAAGAUGGAGACAGAGAGGAAGAGUAGUGAAGUAAGCUCUGGUCGAUUCAGUGUGUUGAUGGUCAGAGAGAAAGUAACCAUUUGCCUUUAUCUCUCUCCAUGAUCUCACUCUUCUCCUUUUGUCCCUAUUCCCUAUAGAGACAGUGAGACACGAGCACGAGUCAAUACAAUCCUUCGUACGUACACAUUAUUGAUAAUGUUGAUUAAUUCUGAAUUGUCUCUAUUCUCAUUUAAGUGUUUGUUCAUUUUAUGGGUUCCACACAAGACCAGUCCCAUUUCUAGAGUUGGAUGAUUCUUCUAGUCAAAACUUUAUUAACUGUUUAAUUUGGAUAUAGAUGUUGAUAUAUGAAUAAGGAAAAGAUCUUGGUUGUUUUGUUUCAUUAAUGCUGUGUCAUAUAAUUUGUAGAAAUAUAGAGAACACGUCACACAAUAAUUUUUGAUUCUGAAGUUUAGAGAAGAAGGCAGAGUUCGUUGACGAAAGAUAAGGUAAUUACUAUAACAAGGUGGUAAGUUUAAGUUUGAAUAGGUUUAUAUUAUCAAAUGAAAAAGUGGAGGUGUUGCAUUUUUUGUAAGAAAAGUUUGGUCUAAAAUAUUAAAUAUCCCAUUAGGAAAAAAAAUAGUAUCCAAAAAGGGGAUAGUAGACUUGUAGUAAAUAAGACGACUGAAGUUAGAGUAAGACUUCUUCUAACAUUAUCCAUCGCUGAACCAUUAAAACUGUUUUCAUGACCCUAUCUUACGUUCAGUCACUGCCAUUGUCUCUCUAUUCUGUCCACCCUAGCUACGAGUAGACACAUCAUCACCUCAUUAUAUGAAUUUCUUUUUUUUUUUUAAUAUUCCUUUCAUUUAACCUUCAUACUUUUUUUCGUUUGAUAUUUUUAGUACAUAACGUAUAUAAUUUUCCGGAUAAUAUAGGAUGGAAGAUUUGAAGGAUAAUAAAAAGGAGACAUACGUUAUCAAAGUAAAUUUAAGAAAUGUACGUCUAUAGAAGUAGGAGCUAAAUUACAAAUAUAUAUUAAACUAGAGCGCAAAACCGAGGGCAAAGACGCAAAAAUUGAACAGUCAAAGGAUAAAAAAAUAGAUUCACACUAAGCAGAGGGUAAAACCCUAUUUAUGAAACAAACUAUGGGAAAAUUGGCAAACAUAAAGUAGUCUGAGGGUAAAACCAUAAAUAUAAAACAACCAAAGGGCAUACAAUAAUUACGAAACCGAGGGUAGAGGCAUAAAUAUGAAGCAAUCAGAGUAUGAAAACCGUAUUAACUAUUGAACAAUAGAUAAAUAUUAAAUGUGGACAAUGUAAAUAUUUAGGAUUUGUUAUUGUUUCAUUUUCAUUUUACUUUGAAUAAUAUAGUUUUACUUUCUUUACAAAAUUAAAUAACUAGAAAUAAAAGGAGUAACAAAAAUUACGACGAACCAUAAUUAUAUUUAGUAGAUGUAACUUAUACAAUUUUUAAAAAUAAUUAACUUUACAAAGAUUACUCAUUAUUACAACAAAAUUUCCCCAUGAGAAAAGAAAAACGAACUUAUAUCCCAGGCUAAUAUCACAUACCCCCAAUAAAAAAACAAAAAACAAAUAAUUACACCGAUAUCCACAUAAAUAACCAAAUCAGCAAAAAUAUAUGGAAAUAACCAAGGAGACCUUUUAGUAUUUGUAGUCUUUGACGUGAAGGCUCUCGGAAGCACCUUCACCGAGCUGAGCAUCACCCUUGUAGGCACCAAUCGUUGCCUCAGAGUUCGCCUUGGCUCGAGCCAAGAACGCGUUUUGAGCCUUUUCAACAUUCUCCUCUUUACCUCCCCAAGCCUUGAGCGUACUCUGCUGAAGCGCACGUCCAUACGAAAACGUCAAGCUCCAUGGUUUCUUACCUUUGAGCUGAUUAAUGGCGUUUAAGUUCACAGUUGCUUCUUCCUCACUCUGUCCUCCAGACAAGAACACAACGGCUGGAACCGCGGCAGGGACAGUCCGUUGUAAAGCACGGACUGUAUGCUCUGCGAUCACCUCUGGUUUAGCCCUGGAGCUACAGUCGGAGCCUGGAGUUACCAUGUUCGGUUUUAAGAGUGUUCCUUCUAAGAUCACAUGGUGAUCAUUAAGAGCCUUGUAACAAGCUGCGAGGACUCGUUCUGUGACGUAAGCACAUUUCUCAAUAUCGUGAGAUCCGUCGACAAGGAUCUCUGGUUCGACAAUGGGGACGAGACCGUUCUCUUGGCAAAUGACUGCGUAUCUCGCUAGACCGUAAGCGUUCUCGUGGAUGGAUAACUCGGAAGGCUCGUUGGCUCCGAUUUUGAGAACGGCACGCCACUUGGCGAAACGUGCACCGGCUUCGUAGUAUUUCUUGCAACGGUCUCCGAGUCCGUCGAGGCCAAUGGUUGUGGUUUCGCCGUCUGUACCAGCGAUCUCGACGGUUCCUUUGUCGACUUUGAUACCUGGAAGCACUCCAGCUUCUUUCAUUACAUCAACAAAUGGUUUCCCUGUAGCAUAAUUCAAGAACUUCAAUGAUCAAAAGGGUAUACACAAAUCAUUAACUUGAUAUCAGACCACAAGAAAGCAUUAGAAAAAGGUUCUUUUAUUGAGUAUUACCUGAAGCUGUUUUCUGGUAGAGUGUUUCCUCGAAGAGGAUGAUACCACUGAUGUAUUGGAGAGCUCCGGGAGUGGUGAACAAGAGUUCACGGAGAGCACGUCUGUUUGAUUCAACGUUCUCCACGUUGAUGCUUGCGAAACGUUUUCCGAUUGUCCCUGUGGAUUCAUCUGCCGCGAGAAUACCUUUCCCUGGAGUACCGAUGUAAGCGGCAUUGGCGAUGAGCUCAUCUGUCGAGAAAAAUACGAAAUGACCAGAUUUAGAUGAAAUUGAUUUAGGGAUUGAACAGCCCUCGAGCUAUGAUCGAAACAAUUUGUGACAGUAAGAGACGAAAUUUCGACAGAGAAUCACGAUUGACGAGAGGCGCAGAGAAUCAAUUCAAGUAAACUAUCCGCAAUCAUAACAAGUAAAAUGCCGGACGAUCAACGAAUCGGUGGAUCGAAAUAUUUAAAUAACGGUGAUUCCAAAUUCGAACUACGAAAGACGAAUGAAACCGGAUAAAUCGAAGGAUCAACAAUGAGGUGUUGGUGACAUUUACCGGCGAAUUUGGAUUUGAAGCACGACAUUGUGUACACAAAAAGAAGCGGCGGCGACGGCGACGGAAAAGAUCGUUCCGAUUGUGAAUGUGAGAGAGAGAGAGAGAGAGAGAGAGAGAGAGAUGAGACCGAUUUAAAAUUGAGGAAUGGAAUGGGCCUUUGGGCUUUAAAUAGUAAAAGGCUGCGUUGGAGACGCAUACGGCGAGGAAAAUGGAGUUUACGAGAGGCCCGUCGAAAUUGUCGCUUGCAACUCCAAUGACCAAUAGAAAAUAUCGCUUCGCCUGUGAUAUUGUAGUUUUCUAUUUUUUUUUCUUUUCUAUUUUUUUCUAUUUUUUUAAAUCCUAUAUUGCAAUGGAAUAUAGUUCUAUAAAUAAAAUUCCAACGAUUUGUGUAUUUUAAGCUUCUGUAGAUGGACCAAAAUAUUUCCUUUCAGUUUUAGCAUCUGCUUAAGUAAUAAGUAUAUGUGUAGUCACAUACUGACAUGUAAAUGAUAAAAUAUACGACAAAAAAUGAUAAAAUACAAAUUGUAUGUUUGACUGGAGAAUAAUAACAAAAAUUAUGGAACUCGGAUAAAUUCUGGUGGUUGCGGCCGUGAAGCACGUGAACUUAUCCCCGCAUGUUGAUCAGAAUAUUAAAACUAAAAGUAAUAAUAUUGAAUUAUUAGAUAUAUUAAAUUUAAUAACAAAGAAGAUUAUAAAAAUAGGAGAGUGGAAGUCUCAAACAUGUGGGCCUAAAGGAGAGUCCACCAUCUACACUUGUUAGCGUCAUCCAUGACGACAUUACAAUAUUACAAUAUUUUUUAUAUUCUUUUUAAUUUAUUUUCCCGCCUACGCCAUCAUAUACUUUGAUUUAUCCAUAUACUUUUCCGUUGUAUCAAUCGAUUAUAUCAACGGUUUGUCGACGAAAACAAAAAAAUAUAUCAAUCGAUUCACAUUUUUUUCGGAUAAAUAAUUUUUAGUGUAUUUCCAAAUUCCAAAAACAAAUAUUUGCCAAAACCAUACAAUUUAACUUCAGAAUAAUUAUUUUUUUUGUUAGGUGAAAACACUCAUCAGUAAAAUAAUGGUGACAUUGCAAAAAGCACAAACCAAAAAAAAAGAGUUAUCUUUUUAUAUAUGUGUAAUAAGUACCUCCGGAGAAAAAAAGAAAAAAAAAGGAUUAUGAGAAGAAACUAAAAAGCUAUCACCUACGGCUCAUUUCAACGGAUCUAAAACUAUCCGACCCGAGAUUUUUAUACGGGCCGGGUGAUAACCCACCAUCUUCCUCAAGUACCCGUUUUUCUCUACUCCAAAUCCUAAACGCAACAAAAAGCAUCGCCACCGUUAAAACCAACGCAAGCACAGCGAGCACAGAUAUCCCAACCGUCAACCCCACUCGACUUUUUUUCUUUCCUACACUCUCAUGUAUCUUAAAAUAACCCACUUUACUCGCAUCCGCAACGCCCAGCAUCGUCUGGAUCGGGUAAUUAAUUAAAUAACAAAACCCGGACCCGUUAUUAUAAACCGACCCGAAACACUUACAAUCCUCAACACACAUCCCCUCACACUCUCCCAAAGACGACAUCGUUUUGUGAUCCAUCAAUUCCUUAAACGGCACUUCAACGCCUCCACGUCUCACCACUUUAAACUUGACCUUCUCAUCGCCGCCGCAAAAAUCCGCCGGCUCCGAAGUCGAGACGUGAGUACACUCUCCGUUCACCGCCGUGCCGUUGUCAAGACACGAGCAUCCCGACCCAGGCGUGCAGAGACUGUAUGGACCACAUGGAUUCGGGAGAUCGCAAGUUUCGCGGAUGGCUUCGUAGUUCAAUGCCCAUUGAGAUCCAUCCCAGAGAUAUCCCCGGAGAUUUCCGUCUGAUUCUAAUCGGAGAAUUAGAAGACCGUUGACCGGCCGUUGAAAACUGUUGAAAGCUUCGACGUCGAUUGGAGUGUUUCCGAUUUGGUACAUACCGAGAUAUCCAUUCGGGUUGAUCCGGGCGAGAAUCGGACCCGAUCCGUCUUUGACUUUGGCCUUGGCUUGAAGAGCACUGUGUUUCCAGUAAAACUGUUGAGAAUCUUCGCUGACUUUAGAGUAUAAUCCGAUAAAAUCCCUGCCUAAACGCAUCGAAUACAAGCCGUUGGGUGAAACCAAAGCCAUGGCAGAUGUGAAAUUCUGGUUCUCCACAAGGGUGUUUCUUGGAAAAUCAAAACUCUCCCACUCUACGGACGACGAUUUCACCACCUGGAGAUUCGAGUCGUUACGUAGAACGAGUCGGUCUCCAUUGGUAUGAGUUGACCAUUCUACCCUCGAAGAAGGAUCGGAAAUGACGAGGCUGCCAUUGAAGAUGAGUUUCGUCUUAUGCGACCAGCUGGCUGAACGGGUCGGGUCGAAAACCCAGAGUGGAUCCGUUAAGUUCGGGUGGGUUACGGCGAGGGAGAGGCGUGACCUGUUUACUCGUAAGAAUCCGAAGGUAAAGUUUCCGCUCGGGUCAGUGAGGAGUGGCUGGAACAACUCGACUGACGAGUCCGGUUUAGCCUCGAAGCCUUUCAUUAGCUCUAGAACCGGUUCGCUCGCGUGGACUCGAUGCCAAUUAUGAGAACAAACUAAGAAAACGAACAGCAAGAGAAAACGAGUCACGCGUGAGCUUAAACUUAAACCUUCCAUUUUUGGAAAUUUGAAAGAAACAGAGAGAAAGAGAAAGAGGUUUUUAGUUCACGGAAAUGGAAAGAGAUUGUGAUGUUUGUGAAUUCGUUCAUGCAGAGAGAAAGAGAGAGUCCAUGGCAUCAUCUCACUUGAAAAUAUAUAUAGAGAGACGCAGAUAGGUAUAUAAACAUUAGUAUAAUGAUAAACGGGAUAAAAUAUGUUUUGCCGGUAAUAUAAUAUGAAAGAAAACAAUAUUAAACGGCGUCGAUGUCGUGGGACAAAUAAUUAAAUAUUUGAAGUUGUGAUAUGAGAAAGAUAUGGUUGCCUGGUGGGAAAUAUCAGGAGGAAAUGUUAUCAUCAUACCAACCAUUAACCAUUACCCGCUAGACGCAAAUGGACCAGUUGUACAAUGCGCUAAAACCAAAUUAUUUUAAAUAAAAUCUUGAGUAAAGACAAAUUAUUGCACGCACUAAGCAUGUGUCAGAGUCAGUAUGUGUUUAUAAGUGUAUACAUACAUAGGUAAUGGUUAACUUGAUAGUAUGUUUCAAGGUGUUUAUUAAUUUAUAUUUGCCUAUGGUUUUUACGAAUUUUCUUGAUCGCGAUUUGGCCAGCCGUAUGUGGCAGCUAAUUAGCAAAAGACAAACUAAUUAAAUAAAUAGUAUGUGAACUAUUUUUCUUGUAUUUUUCUUUAUGUUUAUUUUAGAUUUCAUACAAACGAGAGAUUAUGUAAACAGUAGGCAAGGCUGUCCAAAUGUGAUCGACCCAGGCGCGCCUGAAUCCGAAAACAUGUUUGCAUACACAAAUUUAUGAAAUGCCUUACAAAUUGACAAGGGAAAUCUAGAAGAUUAGGUGUUAAAUGGAAUGGAGUUAGGACAAAAGUCGCACCAAAUCUUAGAGGGUCAAAAGAUUCAAGCUCUUCAUUAGUUUCUCUCCAUUUACCUGUCAGGCCGUUGAAUCUCUCUCAAGUCGCAGCUUUCUUUUCAGAGAGCUGUAGCUGCAACUUGCAAUCUUAUUUACACCAAUUAAAACUUCUGGACCAUGGAUGAUACAGGCAUGCGUUAUGUCAACAUAAAAUGAGUUUGAUGCAUGAAAUUGCAUAUUAGGUUCGCAUAUAAAUAUAAUUUGAACACAACAUCAAAUUUUACUUCUCAAACAAACAAACAAAAAUUAUUCAUAGGGUGUCCAAAGGUGGAACAAGUAAAAAUGAAUUCGACUUCAAAUUUAAAACCGUACAUAUACCAAUUAGACCGAACUACAAUCAAAUUAGUCUACAAUGUAGUUUGGUUGAAUAUUUAUACUAUACGUUAAAGUAUACUUUUGAUAGAAACUAAUUUAAACAAAACAUAAUUAAAUUUUUUGAACUAAACGAGACCAAACUAUCUAGUCUUCUCCUAUAGAAAUGAUAAUGUCUUUUUGGAUAUUAGUAUAAUUUUUGCAUUCAUAUACAAGAAAAGUUCAAAAUGAUUUAUAUCACAAUGAUGGGUGAGUUAUUAUCAAGUCACAUGGAUUGACUUUGAAAAGAUUCAUUAAAUGUGAGGAGUUGACUUAUUGGCGGGAGGAUAUGUGUGAAUGUAUCGUAAGUUCGUAACUAGCGCAUCCAAAGUCUAACCAGUUGAGAUUUUGACUUACUUUCUCUAUUUAUUUAAAAUAAAUAUUUUAUUUAUUAGUAUUUGUUUGUGUUGACAUCAUUUAAGUUCAACCAUGCAACAACUCUUUUGUUACCUUCCCUCCGUUUUCCUUCCUUUAAGAAUCCAAACCCCCCAAUAGUUUAUUUUCAUUCCAAACCUAAUCGCCGUUUUAUCUAUGUUGACGCCGUGCUUACCUAAGAAAAGAAAAACAUCCGCCUACAGCAUCUAAAUAAAGUUCUUUUAAAAAAAAAAUGAAAGGGGCAUUUUUUUUAUCAGUUUCUUUUCAUUGGCCUGAAUAAAAUAAAUAUAGAAACACCAUCUCGUUGGGUAAGCAAAAAGAUGGGUCUUCCACCGGGCUUCCUAAGUAACAAACAAAAUACGGAAAUAAUUGUUAAUCGCUUUUUGAAAAAUUGGGUAAGCAAACAAUUCUUUGUCUUGAUUACUAUGAAAAAUAAGGAAACAAACUCACUACAAGAAAGAGGGGCUUUUCCGUCGAAUUAUUACGACGAUUCGUAGUCGUCGUAAAUUUACGACGACAUUACGUCGUAUUUACGACGAUCAAAAAUUUCGUCGUAAAUUCGACGUAAAAAAUAACCCUCGUAAAAUCGUCGUAAUGUUACGACGAUAUUACGACAAGAUUACGACGAAUUUUAUUUCGUCGUAAUCUUGUCGUAAUAUUUACAUCGAUAAUACGACGAAUUGUCCUCUAUCUUGUAAUUGACGUAAAAUCAAUGUAAAUGUGAUGUAAAUUUUAUUUCGACGUAAAUUUCAUGUAAAAAUGCAAUGGUAAUAUGUUGGUAACCAAACAAAAAAUUCUAUAUAUACCUCUUCUUCUCUCAUUAUUCCAUCAACCCAAAAAAACAUAUAAAGACACAAAUUUUUUGAGUCUUUGAAUGUUUAAGUAAAAUUUUUAGUAGUUGAAAUUUCUAUCAAAUUUCAGAAACAAAAAGUCAAAUAUUUGUUUUUGAAAUAUAAUGUCUAUAUACGAUCUACGAAAGUGGAUGUAUACGCCCAAAAAUGGUGAUGGGUCGUUGACUGAAGACUUCAAAAACGGAUUGGAAAUAUUCAUGUACCAAGCCGGCCUUCUGGAAACUGUAAUUGAAAGCGGCAAAAUGUAUUGUCCUUGUGUGAAAUGCAAAAAUAGGAAACAUAUUCUUAUUGACACUGUCUGGCAGCAUUUAUUGAAUAGAGGGUUCAUGCCCCAAUACUUUAUUUGGUAUCAGCAUGGAGAGGGAUAUGGUCAAAGUAGUGGUCAGAUGGCUGCACGGAGUACUAGUAAUCAUCAAGAACAUGUGGAUUUUGUAGCGUCCAAUGAUUAUCAAAGUAGUCAAGUUCAGGGUGAAGAUCAUGAUAGGAUGCAUGAAAUGAUUACUGAUGCAUUUCAUGAAACACAUGCUGAUACUGUUGAGGAGCCCAAUGCAGAUGCGAAACGCUUUUAUGAUAUGUUAAACGCAGCAAAGCAGCCUCUGUACGAGGGAUGUAGGGAAGGUUUAUCAAAAUUAUCAUUGGCAGCUCGGAUGAUGACAAUAAAAACAGAUCACAAUCUAUCUGAAGUUUGCAUGAACGAUUGGGCAGAUCUUAUUAAAGAGUAUUUGCCAGAUGAUAAUUUGGCUGCUGAAACGUAUUAUGAAAUUCAGAAGCUGGUUUUUAGUCUUGGAUUGCCUUCUGAGAUGAUUGAUGUUUGUGUUGAUAAUUGUAUGCUUUUUGGAGAGAUGAUGAGAAGCUUGAAGAAUGUCGUUUCUGCCAAAGCCAAGAUAUAGACCACAAAUUGCUGGGCGUAAGAAGAUUCCUUACCAACGAAUGUGGUAUCUUCCUAUCACUGAUAGGUUAAAAAGACUAUAUCAAUCCGAACGGACAGCUGCGUCGAUGAGAUGGCAUGCAGAACAUUCACAAACAGAUGGCAAAAUGACUCACCCGUCUGACGGGAAAUCUUGGAAACAUUUUAACACCGUACAUCCAGACUUUGCUAGGUCUAAGCGAAAUGUUUAUCUUGGUCUUUGCACUGACGGGUUUAGUCCAUUUGGUAUGUCUGGUAGGCAAUAUUCAUUAUGGCCUGUGAUUCUUACGCCAUAUAACCUUCCUCUAGAUAUGUGCAUGCAAAGAGAGUUUUUGUUUCUAAGUAUAUUAGUCCCUGGUCCAAAUCACCCGAAGCGGGCACUUGAUGUGUUUUUGCAACCACUCAUACAUGAGUUAAACCAGUUGUGGCAUGUUGGAGUACGAACAUAUGAUUGUUCGAGUGGUAAAAAUUUUACGAUGCGAGCGGUGCUUAUGUGGACAAUAAGCGAUUUCCCGGCAUACGGAAUGCUAUCAGGUUGGACAACGCAUGGGAGGUUAUCAUGUCCUUAUUGUCUUCAUAGGACUGAUGCAUUUCAGCUUAAACAUGGUAGGAAAACCUGUUGGUUUGAUUGCCACCGUCGGUUUUUACCACCAAACCAUCAAUAUAGAAGAAAUAGGCGUUUGUUUAUAAAGAACAAAUUGGUUCGUCUCCCUCCACCAGUGUACCUAACUGGAGUAGAGCUUGAAGCGCAAAUAGAUCAUUGGGGUGGACUUGAAACGGUCCCCCUUGGAGGAAAUUGGCACACUCCUGCGAAUAUGCCUGACGGAUAUGGGGUUCAUCAUAAUUGGCACAAGAAAAGUAUAUUUUGGGAUCUGCCUUACUGGAAAGAUCAUUUGCUUAGACAUAAUCUUGAUGUUAUGCACAUUGAGAAGAAUUUUUUCGAUAACAUCAUGCAUACUGUUUUGAACGUCCAAGGAAGAACCAAAGACAGCGUUAAAUCACGGAUGGACUUACCCGAUAUAUGUAACAGAAUUGAGUUGCAUAUGGUGAGUAAUGGGAAAGCACCUGUUCCUGUAUUUCGGUUGGGUGCUGAACAAAAAACAGCUUUGUUUAAUUGGGUAUCAUCAGCCGUGAAAUUUCCUGAUGGAUAUGUAUCUAAUCUGGCUAAAUCUGUGGAUAAAGGACAAAAGUUUUCAGGGAUGAAAAGUCAUGAUUGUCAUGUGUUUAUGCAACGGUUACUUCCUUUUGCGUUUGCUGAACUCCUACCGGGACAUGUCCAUGAGGCACUAGGAGGCAUUGGAGCUUUCUUCCGUGAUCUAAGUACAAGGACAUUAUCAGAAGAUGUAGUUGCACAACUGUCUACAAAUAUUCCAAUAUUGUUGUGCAAUUUAGAGAAAAUAUUCCCACCUGCUUUCUUCGAUGUUAUGGAACAUUUACCUGUACACCUCCCUCAUGAAGCAGAGUUGGGAGGACCUGUUCAGUUUAGGUGGAUGUAUCCGUUUGAACGAUUUAUGAAGCAUUUGAAGGGUAAGGCCAAAAACUUAGCAAAAGUUGAAGGGUCUAUCGUGGCGGGAAGUCUGACAGAAGAGAUUUCUCAUUUCACGUCUUAUUACUUUGCUCCAAAGGUUCGUACACGCAUGAUUUGAACGUUUCACUGUAACAUUUGUCAAAUUUAAAUUUUUGUUUAUAUAAGCUUCUUGUUUUCAUUUCUUGGGGACCCGGUUAGAAAAUUUAUCAAGUGAUCCACCAUACCUCUAUAAUAUGAAGAUUGAAAAUUUGUUUAUGUGUUGACUUGAACAUAUGUUGACUUUUACGACGAAUUUACGACGAUUAUUAAGAAAUCGUCGUAACUUCGUCGUAACAUGCAAACCCUAAACCCUAUAGGGUUUAGCUUUCCCAACUUACAAAAUGGUUUUUGGGUUCAUUUUCCUAAGUAAACUGAUGUAUUAUAUAAGGGUCUGUAUUGUAAGGUUCAAGAACUUGUAGAAAUGUGGUUUUUAUUACGACGAAUUUACGACGAAUGGGAGUAAUCGUCGUAAAUUCGUCGUAAUAUACCAUCGAGAUUACGACGAAGUGUAACCCCUAAAUCUUAAAAUCAAUCUUUUAUGGGGUUCUGGGGGGGAUUUUGAUGAAGAGAAUGAAAUGGCUUACCAUCUCAUAAGGUAAAACAACUUUCUAAACAAAAAAAAAAAAAAUUCUAAAAUUGACAUAUAUGUGUUUAUCAAGUAAUCUUAAGGUGUUAUAUACAUUUACACAAGAUGUAUGGAUUUAUCUUACAUCUUACUAAAACCUUCAUUAAGUUAUGUAAACAUGUUAGAAAGUUAUACACACCACAUUUAUCAUGAAUAGACAUGCUUGUAUGUCCUUAUGGAUGUUUCAAUUUUUGAAUUUCAUCAGUUUUGUAUAGUUUGUCGUUAAUUCGUCGUAAUAUUACGACGAAUUUACGACGAUAUGUGUAUACACAGCCAUUUUAAUUUUAAUGAUUUAUACGAUUCGUCGUAAAUUGGUCGUAAUGUUACGACGAAUUUACGACGAAUAACACGGAUCGUCGUAAAUUCGUCGCAAAGUCCAGAUACACCCACGUGUGUUUGUCUUAUUCGCUUUGUGUACGGUGGGAACUUUGCGACGAAUUUACGACGAAUUCGUCGUAAAUUCGACGUAACAUUUACGUCGAAUUUACGACGAAUAUAAAUUCUAUAUAUAGGACCUCACCCCUUCCUCAUUUCGUCGCUCAUCUCUCCUUCCUCUCUCGUUGUCUCUGCUUCCUCCUUCCCACCUCCUCCUUUCGACGCAGAAAAAAAGGUAAAUAAUUUUUUUUAAUUAUUUCAAAUUAUAAUAAUUUUAAAUAGUUUAGAAAUUCAAACGGUUUAGGUCGGGAAUUAGUUUAGGCUCGGAAUUUGUUAGAUUUAGGAUCAGAAUUUGUUAGAUUAAGGAUCGGAAUUUGUUAGAUUUAGGAUCGACAUUGUAAUUAAUUUGAAAAAUAAUUUUUUUCCGUUUUGCAGACGAUGCCUCGACGGAAGACGCAUUACAUCAAUUUCAUGGCGGACGGACAUUCUUCCCGGGCGUCUGCCUCGGGAAACACCGAGACCGAUGUCCCUUCCUCAUCUUCCGGAGCCUCUCAGGUUUCGAAUACCGCGGAGCCGUCUCCACCACCGCCUCCACCACCGCCUCCACCACCGCCUCCUCCACCGGCUCCCGAACCGGUACCCGCCCCGGCUGCCGAACCGGUACCCGUCCCUCCUCAUCCGUAUGCCCAGUUUACGGUUGAGGAUUUACUAGCCUUACCGGGACGGGGGGCUUUACGACGUCUGGUUCCCGGAAAAGCGGAACCAGGCUCAUUUUGGUAAGUAAACUUUUUUGUUUUUUAUAGUUUUUAAAUUAACGCUUUAAUUUACUUAAAUAUUAAUGUAAUAAUUUUUUUUUUGUUUCAUAGGUUUACUUUGGAUAAUUGUGUCGGUCGGAGCGUUUCCGACUGCAUUAAGAGUCAUUUCGUGGAGCCGCACUACAAUUGGAGCAAGGUGUCGCAAGAGACGUGCGACACCUGGUACAAGUGCUUCGCGGUAAUAUUUUUAAAUAUUAUUUAUAUCAUUUUAAAUUGUUUUAAAUUUAAUUAAUCUUACUUUUAUAUUGUUUAUCUAAUUUUUUGUUUUCUUUUGCAGCAACGGUGGAAUUGGGACAUCGGGAUCAACGAGACGGUCCGCGAUGCUUUCGUGGAAAAGGCGAAGAAACGCCUAGUCAACACCGUUUCCGAUUGGAAGCGGAAAUGGGAGACCGACGGCGACGACGCAAAGCCGAGCUCCAUGUCCACUUGGUGUUGGAACGGGUUGAAGGCGUAUUGGGUGGACCCGCAUGCCCAAGCCACCGCUGCUAAGUGUUCGGCCGUCCGAAACCGGGUCGAUCCGGUGACUGGUGAGAAGUUAGUGACCCCGCACACUUCUGGCCAAGUAUCUUUUGCGGGAAGACGUCUCAUGAUGGUAAGUAAUUAAAUAUAAUUUAUUUCAUUAUUAUUUUAAUUUUAUUUAUUACUAUAAUUUAUUAAAUAUUUUUGACUAAUAAUGUUUAUUAAUUGGUAGGCCGAGGAGAACGGAGGAGAACUACCUCCAAUGACGAAGCUCUUCGAGACCACUCACCGGAAGAAGGACGGGAGCUUUGUCGACGCUCGGUCCGAGGAGAUCUACAAUGCCGCUAUGCAGCGGAUCGCCGAGCGGGAGACCCAGGCCACACUUGACGGUACUAUCCACGUACCGUUGACCGUCGCUGAGCAAGACCAGAUUUUCGAAGAGGUAUGAUCUAUUUCAAUUUUUUAAAAAUUUAUUAUAUUUAUAAUUACUUCAUAAAUAAUUAACGUUUUUAUUUUCCAUUUGUAGGUCGCUCCGAAGAAGAAGGGCCAAACAUUAGGGAUGGGCUCUAUUAGAGACUGUCCUGCCGCCACGGCUUCCGGAUUCCACCGCCCGCAGGAUCCGCAGCUUCGCCAGGAGCUUGCUACGGCCAAUGCUGAGAUCACCACUCUCAGGCAUGAGCAAGUGGCCCAGAAGCAGGAGCUCACCGAGAUCCUUGAUCUCUUCGACAUCAUUGCGGAAGCGGUUCCGCAGUUGGCCACCGCAAUCCGAGCGAGGCAACAACGAGCACGGAGGGUUUUUGAGACCGGAGCUACUUCGGGUACUGGACCCUCGGACCCGCAGACGCAGGGCGGUCAGACUUCGGCUCCGGUCCCAGCAGUGACGGGCGGUCAGUCUUCGGCUCCGGUAGUGCAGACGGAAAACGUCGGUCCAGCAGCGACGGGCGGCCAAGACGGAGAGCUUCCUCGUGACGUCGAUCUCAACCUCGACGAUUACGACUUUGUAUAGAUUAGGUUUUUUGUAAAAAACAAUUUGUAGUAAUUUUUUUUUAUUUAUAAAUUAUUUUUGAAUUUAAAUUUCAAAUUUUUUCUAUUUUUAAUUUUUUUAUUAUUUAAAAAAUUCAUUAAUUAAAUUUAAAUCGAAUUAAAUAAUUAAUUUAUUAAAAUCGAAUUAAAUCGAAUUAAUCGACGUAAAUUCGUCGUAAAUUUACGUCGAUCUAACGUCGAAAAAUUUAACGACGAAUUUACGACGAAUAUCUUUACGUCGGAUUUACGUCGAAAAUUUACGACGAUUUAACAUCGAUAAUUAAAAAUUUAUUUUUCCCUUAAUUGAAAUUCUUCGUCUCCUAAUCGUUGUUAAAUCGAUGUAAUUUUACAUCGAUUUUACGUCGUUCUUAUGAUGGAGUUAUUUCGUUGUACAUCCGUUGGAAAUUUUACGUCGCAUUUACGACGAAUUGUUUCCGACGAUUUUACGACGAUUUUCCGGAGUUGGUAAUUUUACGACGAUUUUACGACGAUUUGGGUUUUACGACGAUCGUUUUACGACGAAUUGUAAUUCGUCGUUAAUUCGACGUAAAUGUUCUUUUACGUCGAAUUUACGUCGAUAUCUGCCGACGUAAAAGCCGAUCUUUCUUGUAGUGACUGUCACGAAUCGCGACUAUAUAAGCUAUUCAACCUCGUGUCUCUCUCUCUCUAUCUAAUCACGUUCCAAAACCCAGCGACUUUUAAUCUCUAAAUCAAGCAAAAAUUUUAUAAAAAAAAAAAACAUGUUCUAAUGUUAUUUACCCCCAACUUUUCCGUUGAUUAUGAUUGUAUAUCCUUCCCACCCGUAGCCAUUGAUCACAGUCAUAGCCGCUAGGAUGUUGUGACGUAGCUCUCUCACUUACCUGGAUUACUACUCUCAAUUAAUCGCCCAGAAGAUAUGAUGAUGAAAAAAAAAUAGAAAAAGAGAUGUUGACAGUGGGAUUUGAACCCACGCCCUUUCGGACCAGAACCUUAAUCUGGCGCCUUAGACCAACUCGGCCAUAUCAACAUUUUGCUAUUAUGGUUCCCUAAUAUACAUAUAUAUAUAACAGAAAAAGAACUUUACAUAAAACAACAGAGAGCUCAGAAGACUGAUUAAAAAAGAACAAAAUUACAAUUUUAAAGCACAUUAAGAGUAUAAUCUUCGUCAACGUUAAAAUCUAAUUAAUUUAGUUCCACUUAAAUUAUAGAAUUGUUCAUGUUAUUACAUUUAUAAAAAAAAAACAAAAAUCAGCCACAACGAACCAAUAUAAAUGCUUUCAAAAACCAGAUUAGGCAGAAUUUACAAAAAUUGCAAUCAAAUCAUUAAAGCAUUAAUGACAAGGACUACCACCAAAAUCAAAGUUAAAGUCGUGAGGGUCUUUUUUAUUGUCUGUUUUUUUCAUCGCAAUUGAUGUAAUGAAUGGACACAGCACAAUUCUUAUCUAAGACAAAAACGAUACGUAAACCUAAAAGUUUUUAUUAGAAUCUCGAUUUGUCUGCUUACUGCAAAAUAGAAUACGAUAAUGACUCCCGUCAAGUAAUCAAAUUUGGCUCGUGAUCUAUUCUAUAUUCUUUGCCACACAAAAUUGGUUUUGUCAAAGAUAGAUCCACAUUCCUAAAUGAUGUGACGCUAUUGUAAGCUUUAACUGAGACUCAUAUCAUUAACUUUCGCGGUUCAAGAUUCCUUUUUGCAUUAUUUUACAUAACUUUUAGGUUAUUUUUUUCAAAUAUCAGUGAUUCAGUGCGGGAGUAUAUAUUGGUGAUUAAAGUACAGAAAACCAAUUAAAAUCCGAACUGUAUACGGAGAAAGUAUAAAGACUCACAGUUUAUAAAGGUUAUAUGUGAAGCUAGUCUUGAAAAAGUUUACAUUUACAUAACCAAAAACAAAACAAUGGGAAACAAAUUAAAGGAAGAGGAGACUUAGAGACAUGAAUAAUAGUAUAGUAAUUUUGUGUAACGUCAAAAGAGAGUGCGUACGUUUUGCUUUUGGCAUUACAUUACACAAUCAACGAGGAAGAAUCUUUUUUUUCUCGUGGGUGGGAUAUCGCCAAAUGAGUUGUGCCAACUAGAAAACAAUUACAUGUUAAAAGUAGCACUAGUAAAGAACAUAAUGAGUAAUUACCUUACUAAUUAGUCUAUUUCAAAAACAAUUUUUUCUUUGGAAGAGGAGAACUCAUAACUAGAUUUUGUAAGUAAAUAAUUGUAAAUAGUUGAUGUCUAGAUGUUUCGUUUAAAAGAUCGAAUUUGAUUGAAAUUCUUUUCUGAGAAAACGCAAAACUAGAUUUGAAUAUGAGUUCUCUUUGAAUAUACCAAAUGUAAUGUUGAUACAAACUCUCUGUAACAAGAGGUUGUCGUCUAGUUGUUUUGUCGGGUUGAUGAGUUACUCACUCUUUUUUUUUGGGUUCACAUAUGAAGUUACUGACUCAUUUCUCUCUAGAUGUAAGGGUUUUUAUAAGAUGGGAUCCACUCCACAACACACUAGAGAUGGGCAUAAACGUAAAUGUAACGAGCAUGUGAGAGAUCUACACGUAUAUUUAAACUUUGACUGUUCUUCUUCUUCUUCCUCUCUGGAAAAAAUAAUCUAAUAAAAAAUGGAGAAGAAACUUGGGAUUAUGUUCUUCCUUUUUGCUCUUCUUCUUCUUCAGUUAUCUGGGAUUCGUACAGCUCAACGUCCUUUGCAAGUGGAUAAAGAAGGUACUCUAUGCCAUAUAUAUACACCCAUGCAUCAUCAUGCAUGUCUAUGAUAUUUCAUAUAUCUAUGUUGAAUGUAUAUGCGUAUACGAAUUGACGAAUUCACAGGCUUAAUUAGGACUUUUGGUGUAUGUAUACUAUAUACUUAGAUUUGUAGUGCGGUCGUUUGGAAAAUAUUGUUAAGUUAAACCACAAAAAGAAAAUAUUGUUUCCGAAACAAUGAGAGUUAUUGUUCUUUUUAAGCGGGGAUCAAAAUUUGCUUUAUAAAUAUAAAUCUAUGACAGAUCAUUCAGAAAUUUAGAGCUUGACACUUUCAAAGAUCUUAAUGUGAAUCGUCGAACUUGGAUCAUACUCGAUAAAAAUCUAGCCAAUAAUCGCACUUGGAUGGCUUUGAAUUUAAGAGUUCUUUCGAUUUUGAUGCUCUUGUUGUUGAUCUCUCUCACCAAUUUUCACAUAAAGGAAACACGAAUAAUAAUUGGGCUUGGGCUACACAAGCAGAUAAGGCAUCCGAGGUUGCCCAAGAGUUAUCGCAUGUAAACCACUUUUACCCAUCUUAUGUUUUUAUUCAAUAAAAUUUGUUUUUUUUUUUGGUCCUGAAUUGUGGUUUAUAUAUAUAAGCUGAUGGGAGAAGAGAAGUGUGAGGAGACCGAUGAAGAGUGUAUGAAGAGAAGGAUGAUCACUGAAUCUCACUUGGACUACAUCUACACUCAAAGCCACAACAAGCCUUAAGUAUCCCCACCUUUAUUUAUUCAUUUAUCAUCAUUAGUAUUACUAUUGAAAUUUAAAAUGUACCAAUUAGUAUGAGUAAUUCAAAACUAACUCUAAAGUGUUUGUUAUAAAACUAGAGGUAAAAGAAAAAAUAAACAAAAGAAUCGUAUUGUUGCAACAAAAUAUAAAUGUAAAACAAAGAAUGUCAUUUAAACUCUAAAGAGUUGUACUGUGAUCUUGGUUGUAUGCGAAUAUGUGAGAUAAUUUUAUUUUAAUCACAUUUGAUAAAAAUGUUUAGAACAUUUUCUGAUUUUAUAAAACGUUUUUGUUUAGUACAAACGAAAAAAAGAAAUUUGUUUACAAAUAACGCAAAAAGAAAAAAUGACUUGGCGGGAAAAAAUAUAGAUGUAAAACAGAGUCUGAAGCUAAGAAACUAUGUUUUCCGGUCUGUCACUUGUAUAAAUUAUAAUGGGAUGGUACCAACUACCAAGACAUAAAACAUACCUGGAGGCUGGAUCAUGAAGAUUUAUUUUCCAUGGAUGAUAUGGUGAUAAGUAUCAAUAAAACCAUUCCUCAGAGAAGCAAGGUUCCACUACAGACCUGCAACAUUCGAUUACUCCAGCAGAUAAAACCUAUGUAGUUAGAAGUUAGAACCCCCAAAAACACAGAACAAAAGGAUAGUACUGUGUUGUUAUCCGCUAAAAUUAAAGUUAAGAGACACAAAUUCUGAAUAAGAAGGGCACAAUCAAACUCAUUAAUUAUCUAUAUAUAUAUGUAUAAAUGUGCAUUCAAAAUGAAAUAAUCAAUUAAUAGUUCAAUUUUUGGUUUAAACUAUAUGGAAGCUCUUUAAGGAUCAUCUGUUGGCAUAUUAUCAUCACCAGUUGGCCAACUGAAAUCUGCAGCAAACUGUUCCCAACAUACAUCAGGCAAACCACCAGUUGCUGUUUCUGCAACAGAACCAAACUCUGAGACAGUAUAGUCCACUGUGUUUCCCCAUACAUCCAGCGUAGUAGCAUCGAAACCCAUACUCCAUGUCUCUUCUUGUUUGAUAAUAGCAUCUACUUCUGCAGGAGAUGAGAAUGAGACUAAGUUAUCUGGAAUCAUCAUCUCUUCUUCUUCUGAUGGAUUCAUCAAGUUCUUGCCUUUCGGAUCGGUUCCUUCUUGUCUCGAGAGUGGGAAGUUCUCAAUCUCUUCGUCAGACAUUAACAAUCUUUCCCAGUCAUCAGCUUCAUACUUCACAAUCUCACCUCCUGUUGGAGAAUCUUGAUGCUUGAUGAACUUCCUUCUCGCCUUUUCAGAUCCAAGAGCUCCUCCUCCUCCUCCUCCUUUGAGAUUCUUAAGACGUUCCAAGAAACCCGGGUUCUGAAACAACUUGGCCAAGAAAGAAAGCAAUUGCUUCUGCCGUUGCUCUGCAGCUCUCAGCCUCUGGUUCACAGUGUCCAUGUGGCGAGCUGUGCCUCUGUGGUGCUGCUGAAGCUCUACCAUUUCCUCCAUCAAUGCACGCCGCUCUUUCCUCAGCUUCUCUAUCUCUCCUCCGACCUCUGUAGGUGACCCUUGGCUUUGGCUGCUGCUACUGCUGCAAGUUUGGUUGGAUUGUGGUGAUCGACGACGAUGAAUGUUCUUCAGAAGAUGCUUCUUGCCUCUAAGGAAUGCCUCGUUAGCGAACUCCCACUUGUCAGUAUCAAUCUUUCGGAAUCCCUGAACACAUUUCAACCCCAAAAAACGACUCAAGAAAGAAUAACAAAAAGUUAAAUACCUCAACACAAUCACAUCAAGAUCGCACCAGCAGAAUGGGUCUGUGUAAUCAUCAUCAGAAGAUUCUAACGUUUAAGAGCGAAGAACGUAGGAGUAGUUUCUUAAACCAGAUUUCUCCAUUAACAAGAAACCAUAGUUAUACAAGAGUAUUUGAUCAUCUCAUCUCAACAAGAUUACAUGAGCAGAUAAUAGGAUAAAAUAUACAACAAAAGCCAGAAUUUAUUGGUACAAAAUUCAUUGUUACAUGGUGGAGAUUGCACAAAUCCCAAAAAGAAACACAAUUACAGAUAUUUACAAUUAUAAAAGAACCAGUUCAAGAAUCUAUACAAUAUGUUUUUGUUCAUCAAAAAGAUUACAGAAACAUAGAAAUAUAAAAAACAAAGAAAUUGAAAGAAGAAACAGAGAAAGAAAGAACAAAACGGGUAAAAAGAAGAAUGAUCAUUCAAAAGAAGAAUCUAUCUAAAUAUCUAAUCAAGAAAACAAAAGCAGAGAAACAGAUUAGUCCACAUUACAGGGGAUACCCACAUAAGUGUUAAGCUGUCUGACGAAGCUGGAGAAAUUGUUGUGUUUGAAAUUCUUAGGGAGUACGAUUCUGGCAAACUCGAGUGGGUCCCAAACCACGAAACUCGCUCCGGUCAGUCCCCAAGAUAUAACCGGGUCGAGUCUCGGGUCAUCCACCAAAUCGUAUGUCUUCGAUAGAAACGGCGGAAUCGGAUUCCCCUGCAAGAUCGGGACUGGAGAACACAUGUCUGUGUCGACGUAGAGAGACCCGGGUAUGGUGGAUUCGGGUCGGGUCGAAACGGGUAAUGAGAUU
RNAcentral lists this long non-coding RNA (78992 nucleotides) under Eutrema salsugineum. RNAcentral describes it as "long non-coding RNA (ESAL_LNC001067)". The stretch from base 35112 to 35218 matches the Rfam family "Plant small nucleolar RNA R71". The record is from RNAcentral. Lineage: Eukaryota; Viridiplantae; Streptophyta; Magnoliopsida; Brassicales; Brassicaceae.